CCAGGUGGAUCCUGGAAAGGGAGAAAAGUCAAAUUAGACGUGGCUUAACAUACUCAUGGUAGCUAAACUUUAGAACAAUGUGGCUUAACAUACUCUGGAUAGCAAAAUUUAGAACGAUAAAAUGUAGAAUACCAGUAAUAGUCACUGUACUUAGCACUCUGUAUAUGAUGACCACUUUUAUAAACUAGCCAGUGUCUAUUGGCAGUGUGAAACUGUGAACUGUGUGUUUAGGUUUCUGUCCCCAUUUUCUGCAUACAACCCCUAAAAUUCCUGGAAUCUCCAAAAUGAAAAUAUAUUCUUGUAUGGCAAUGACUAAGUAAGAGCUUGCUACCUGUAGGUAGUUUCAGGGUGGGGAUUAGUCACCAGAAAGAAUAAAGCAGUCUUUAAAGGGUUAGUACCUUCUGACUUCUAUCCCCAGCCUCCCACAAGAGGGGUGAGGCAAGACAGAAGGUUAAAUUGAUGAUCAAUCAAUGGCCAAGAUUCUAAUCAAUCAUGCAUGUAUAAUAAAGUCUUCAUAAACAAAAAAACAAACUUCAAGAGGAGAAGUUUCCUGGUGCUUCUGGGUAGCUGAACACCAGAAGGACAAGGGACUCACCUUCCUUCUUAUGUUGUCCUGUGGGGGUCUUCACCUGUGGCCUUGUAACCUUUAUAAAUAAGCCAGGAAAUAGAUAAGUGCCUCCCUAAAUUCUGUGAGCCACUCUAGCAUACUAAAUCAGAAGAGGGUAUUUACAGCCAGUUGGUCAGACUUGUGGCCGGACUGACCUUAAGAAUAAGACCUGGGGUUAUCUCCUCACAGUGUCAGGGUUUAAUUGAGUUGAACUAGAGGACACCCAGCUGUGUGUGCUUUGACAUGUUUGUGUGUCAGUGGAGGAGAUAGAAAAAAUACACACUCUGUGUUGAUUGUGGUGUGAGAACAGAUAAAUGCUUUGUCUUUUCAAGGUAUAAAUUGCCUAUAGUGUUAUCCCCGUUAUACAAAGGGGCUCAACAUUUUAGUCCCUUGCUUAGAUUGCACAGAUAUUAAAUAAUAAAACUGAACUUUGCUUCUGGCAUGCUACACAGCAUUGUUUCGUCAGACUUCAAUGAGAGCAGCUGACCUGCUAGGCCCAGUGUGGAAGACACUGUAUUUACUCGGUGUAGCUUAUUUUGAUAUUCCUUGUCUUGGGUUUCAUUUCUGGCACUAACACAGGACAUUCUUGGAAUGAGAAUAUUUGUCUUUCAGUGUUCCUGCUCUUAGGUCAGAGUUGAGGUCAAUCCAAGAGUUGAUGAUGUCACCACUGAUAAUCAUGCUUCAUACUUUAAAUUUGUGGCUUCAGCACUGGGAACACCAGUUCCAGGAGAGGAAGUGGAGGGCAAGGGGAUUUCCAUCCAGUUGUCAUAGCCCAGGGGAAAGAGUUCUGUACCAAGGGAGGCCCUCAGUAUAGUGGGGCCUGGACCAGACCUGGGGAAUAAAGCCUCUUGGGGAAAGGCAGGUAAACCCUAACCCCAUAAGCCAAAUUAUACUAAUGUUGAGCACACAACAAAGCCCUGCAUGUCCUCAGGCUCAGCCAGAGCCCAGCAUGCUGAAUGCCUUUUUCUGACUGCAAUCCAAGGCUUAGAAGAGUAGCUGCCUGUUGGAGUACCUGCAAGUGCAAAGUGGUCAGAGAUCGGUUCUUCUAAGUUCUCGCAAGCAAAGAGCAUUGCUUACAAAACCACUUGGAACUUCUUCACUGGAUAGUGAGGCUUUUCUGCCCCCAUGACUUGACCUUUACCUCACACCUUCAACAGGCAGGAAUACUUCCUUUCCCUAGGAUGCUCAGCACCAAAGUGUCUCCCUCUGAGUUUGCUGGUCUCUAAGGCGAGGCAACUGUUGUCGUCCCCUUCGUAACUUCGAUGCCCACUUCUCGUACAUAAAAACUAGGGGGUGGUCUCACUAACCAGCGACUAGGCUGAUUUAUUAAAUCCCCUCAGACAGUGAAAUGAAUGUUUGUUAGAGAAGCAAUGAAUUGCAUAUGUUGGAAAGCUGUCUUCAGAGAGAAGCCUAAACCACUUAGCAAAGAAAGAAGAGUUCCAAACAUUUUUUAUAUUAAAGUGGCCCCCAAGCCAGCAAGGUUACAGUUUAUACAGCUGAAGACCGAAUGGGGAAUGCCUACAUAUGGGAAGGGAGAGUGCUGGUUGGUAUUCUUGUCCUGCUGGGUCUUCCCUUUAAAUUAUAUAUGUAUUGUUGUUAUGCUUGCUAAUUACACAGCAUGGGCACAUGCAUUUGACUCAGCUAUAGAGAGCUCUUAAACCUUUAAUGUCUUCCAACAAGGAGCUUAAGAGCUCUAGUCCAUCUAUUCUAGUCCAUUACUCAGGAUGCCAGACAAAUAUGGUUUUGUUCAGCCUGAGAUGGAUGAUAAAAGUUCUGUAGUGUUUAUAAAAUAGGAUCCCAGCUCCAUGGAGCAGCAGGAGUUACACGUUGUUGAUCAUUUGGUAUUGAUGUCUUGGAUCCCAGGGCGGAGUCAUUAAACCCUGAGAUCUUCAUGACUUCCUUAUGGGAAGCAGAGAAACCUCUUUAACAGAGUGGUAUUCAUAAACAGGGGACUGGCAGAAAAUAGAAUCAUCUCUCUUCCACUCCCUCCCUCAGUCCUCUCUUUCUCAAGGAACUCUGUGUGCAGGUUUGAUUCAGAACAGCCUUUCUAGGUUCCUUCCUGACCACUUUUCAUACUAAGAUUUCAUGAGUGAUCCUGGUCUUUGAGAGAAUUCAAUUUCUUUCUUUCUUUCUUUCUUUCUUUCUUUCUUUCUUUCUUUCUUUCUUUCCUUCCUUCAGUUAAGUGGUGGGAUAGUGGUGAGAACAUUCUCAUUCAGAGCCGUCUGUGGAGUGUGUACGUGCUCUGUCACAGUGGCAAAUGUAAGAGUUUAAGGCCUACCUCUAUGAUGGACUUGGGGGCAAAAUUCUUAAUAGUUCAAGGCCUCUGUUUUGUAAUCUGUAAAAUGAAGGAUAAUAAUACCUAGCUCAUGAGAUUGGCAUGAGGAUAGAAAUCAAAAAGAUCUUAGCAUGCAGUAAAGGCCCAAUAAAUAGUAGCAAUGCAAUCAACAAAUACGUACUCAUCAUGGACGGCACCCCACUGUUAAAACUGCGGUAGAUUGAGUGCUGAUGUACUGAUCCUCAAAGUGUGUGACCCAGUGGAGGAACAAGAAAACGGAAACAAAGAUUUACUCAUAAUAAUGGUGGUGGUGGUGGUGGUGGUGUUCAGGUCUAAAUUUUUAAAAUUAUAUUUAUUUAUUGUGUUGAGGGGGCAUUUGCGUUCAAUGGCACUGUAGAUGUCAUAGGACAUCUUGGAGUGAGUGCUUCCCACUGUGUAGGUUUGGGAUUGACCUUGGCUUGGCGGUAUUUGCCUUCACCUACUGAGCCGUUUUACUCUGUGGGGGGGGGAAGGGGGGGUUGAUUUUCUUUUUCUUUUUCUUUUUCUUUUUUCUCUUUCUUUUUUUUUUUUUUUUUUUUUUUUUUUUUUUUUUUUUUUUUACACAUUUAUAAAACCCAGACUGGCUCUUUCUGCUCCUCCUACCAAGUGGCAUUUUCUAUUUUUUUUUAAAUGGGAUAGGUGGAGACAGUUUGAGUGACAAUUAAGGAAGGCCUCUCUGAAAUUUCAUUACUAGUAAUUGAUAAUAUGAACACUACUGUUUAAGGAGCAUUUUGGCUGCAAACAAUGACUAAGGAGUUUUCUGAAUUAUUCACUUAUUUACCAUCCGAGACAAGUGUCAACAUCUCAUUUUCAGCCAAGAAAUAAAGAGGCUGUGUUUAAAGCAGGAAUGGAAAUUCUGGCUGUAGCCUUCAUUUGUCAAAGAGAUUGUAGGAUGGAUUUCCACUGGGAUAAUUAGCCAAAGGAGCAAGGGUUAAUUGAGCUGUGAGUUGCUGUUUAAUCAGUUUUAACACCUGGGUAGGCUGAGCAAGGAGGGCUCCUCCCUUCUUUCUGACUGUUGUGUUAUAGCCAAGGGAGCUUGGAGAACUGAAACAAAGCUAGCUUUGGAAAUGAAAACUAAUUUAUCCUCCUUCCCCUCCCCCGGUUGCCCAGAAAUACAGCCCCUGCCUUAGGUAGCAUGAGUAACAAGCUGAAAUUGUUAGGCCCCUUCUAGAAAGCUUUACCCGACUUCCCCGCUCUGAGCUGGAAGAGCCAAGUAUCUUUGACAUUUCUACAGCACUCAGGAUAUGUUCUUGAAUCCUUUCCUGCUCUUGCCUCUCCAUCAGAUUGUGACCUCAGAGGCUUCACUGUCUCCCCUGAACCUGCACAAUAUCUAACUUUUAGGUGUUCUGCUAGUGUAGGGCUGCCUAUAGGUUUUUGCCACACAGCGUGCGUCACUCCAACAUUUGCAUUUAAAUUCUUUUUACAUGUUAGAAGAACCCUUCCCCUUAGGUUCAAGCUCUUGAUGAACAGAAGCACCAUUUGGCGGUGGACAGAUCAUGAGGAGGACAUCAUUCAGUUGGUGGCUACCCUAAUUCCUAGGUGCUUCCCAAGCCCUGAGAUAGGAUGAGUGGGAAGUGAGUUGGAGGGCUUCAGGUUAGAGAGACGCCUUUCAUGUGGGAUGCCCAGUGUGGUGGAGUUUUAUAGCAGAUAUCCAGCAGGCAGCAGAGCAGUCCAUGGGAGGAUUGAGUUGAAAGUUCUGAUUAGUAAUCUUGCUGCAUUCCCAUCAACUUGCUGUGCCUAGGAUGCUUUUCACAGAGAGAUCCUCAACAGCUCAUGUCUCGAAGCUCAGUGAUGGUGGCAGGGCCAGGGCUAAGCCCUAUUUUGCUCAAAUCCCAAGUCUGCAAAGAAGAUUCUUUCUAUAAAGAAUCCUAGAAUCCGAAGUAGCAAGGAACAGGUCAGUAUAGUAUUUGACUCUUCAGAUGUCAGGUUGGGUCAAACACACAGCAACACUGUUACUUCUUAUAGAUCUUAAUUGUAAAUGGCCUACUAUGUCUAGGUAUCUUAAACUUCUCAGACCAGCCAAUCCUUUCCAGGCUUAGAGAGUGUACAGUGGAGAUGCCAUUAACUUGAAGGCACCAUUAUUCCUACUUUGAAGAGGCAGGGAGGGUGGCUGCCCCAGAGGGGAGUCCUUUACCAAGUUGCAGCUGCUAGAUGAUCAAUAUAUUCAGCUGUAUGGAAAAGCUGAAGGGUUGCCAGAGUGAUGCUCUUUGGUUAAGAGGGGUGAAGGAGCUUGGGAUGCAUGGACAUGCAAGGGAGGGAAAGCUGCAAAAAUUACUUCAAUAAUAGGCCAAUGGUCCUCCAGGUGUUGGGGGAGAGGUGCAGAAGAAUCAACCAAUCCCGUCUCCUUUCUUUCUGGGUAUGCAUACAUGUGUGUGUAUAUGUGGGUGGGUGUGCAUGUGGAAGCCUGAAGUCUUAAACCUCUGGUGUUAUUCUUCAGGUGCUGUCCACCUUGUCUGUUUUGAGACAGUCUCUCUGUGAUGUGGCUAGAGCUUGUUGAAUAGGCUAUGCUGGUUUCAGUGAGCCCUAGUGACCCAGCCUGAGUGAGCCAUCUUCCAGGCCCAGAAGAGCCUUUCUGAAGGGUACAUUGAUUUCCUUAGAGUGCAACAAUGUGUCCAGCUGCCCACGGUAUUUUGUAUUCGGAGUAUAGGACAAACACUAAUCAGCACAGCACUGUGCCAAGGUGAUAUGGCUUUUAGACCACAGGUUGGACCUCCCAAACUGCUUUGCCUAUUAGUGAACCCAUGUCCUCAAGCAAAUCACCCCAAGUUUCUUUCUUCUCCUACCCAAAGAGGGGCCCAUUCUUCUGCUCAGGGUGGUUGCACCUGAUGAGUAUCAAUGACCCAGGGAUGGUAAGGAUUCUGAGGGUUUAGUGAGGGCACAGCCUGGGGCGAGGCUGCUGAGUGUGAUUUCCCCUCGCCUCAUCUGUGGGAUGUACGGCGAAUUCUUUAACUUCUGUGACUUAGCUUCUUUCUCUGUAACAAAGUUGGCACUGUUGGCAUUUGGUACUAAAUGCUGUUUGUCAUGAGGCUGUCCUGUGCAUUGUAAGAUGCUUCAUAACACCCUCUUGCCACCAGUUGUUGUGACAACGCAAAGUAUCUCCCAACAUUUCCAGAUGUUCCAUAGGGAACAAAUUCACCCUUGAUUGGAAAACACAGCUCUGCAAGGUAGGACUGUAAUAGCCAACUCAUGAGAUGACUGUGAAUAUUUAAUAAGCAUCUCUAUAAGAGACUUUUUAAAAAGAAAAUACAAACUCUAAUUGAAUGCAUUAAUUUUCUUCCCUUCUGCUAAGAUUCAAGCUACUUGAGUUUCUCAUGUAGGGUGGAGCAUGACCCAGAUCCCAGGUUGCAAGUGUUAGUCAGAAGGCUCUCCUUGAUGACUAAUAAUUGGUUUCUGGAGGUAGGAAGAAGUUAUGGAGUCUGGAAAAAUCACCUUCUUGCUCUGCUCAAGGUGGACUGUCCCUAGGACGUGCAGUCUGGCAGUGAGGUUAGCUUUCUCCCACUGAGUACUUGUCCACCUCUGUCAAGAUAACAAGAGCAAUCCCUGUUUAACGCUCCAGACUCCGAGGGAGCAGUUUUGUUGUGGAUAUUGGAUUUGACUGAUUGAACCUGAUUUCCAAGCCUUGAGAAUGGCAGGUGAUUCCUGUUUUGCUCAUCUGUGAUGUGAGCACCUUGUUGAUUGUUCUUGUUUGUUUUAAGGCAGAGUCUUAGUAGACUGGACAUGCCUAGAAACUACUGUGUGGCUGAAGAUGACUUCAAGGUCCUGACCCUCCUUUUUUUUUUUUUUUUUUUUUUUUUUUUUUUUUUUUUUUAACUCCCUGACUGAGGGGCUUAGAGGCUUAUAGCACCGUGCCUGGCUUUGCCUGUUUUUAAAAACAACCAAAAUGGGUUUUCAGCUUUGUUUGUUUGGAGUUGCUUGUUGAGUUGGAAGGGAAAUGAUGGAGAAACAUAGCCCAAGUUUAGCCUGAGAAAUGCCCCAGUACCCUCUGUGAUCUACUUUGCUGACAGUGGCUGUGUGCAAGGCAAACAAGAAGGAUUGGAGGACAAGCAGCGUUGUUUGAGGAGUUUGUGAUCUAAGAGCGACAGCAUAGCAUGCAUAUGGUUAGCGGCAAAGAAGCUUGGCAUCAGGGCUGGAGAGAUGGCUCAGCGGUUAAGAGCAGUGAUUGCUCUUCCAGAGGUCCUGAGUUCAAAUCCCAGCAACCACAUGGUGGCUCACAACUAUCUGUAAUGAAAUCUGAUGCCCUCUUCUGGUGUGUCUGAAGACAGCUCCAGUAUACAUACAUAUAAUAAAUAAAUAAAUCUUAAAAAAAGAAUAACAUUUAAAAAGAAAUAAACAACAAUAAUCUAAUUUAAAAAAAGAAGCUUGGCAUCUUGUUUAAAACAAUAUGGAAACAGUGCUGAUAGCCCCCACUAAUUGCACAAUGUUACCCAUCUUUGGACUUUUCAUGGGCUAAUUUCAUUCAGCCAUCCAGCCUCUCUGUAAGAGAGCUAUAGUUUCCAGUCCAUAGAUGAAAGUUUUGAAGCUUUACAAAGCUGGUAAGGUGGGCACCCUAGUGGUUGGAAGGGAGUGGGGCUCCUUGUAGGAGAUGGAGCCUGUGAGCCAAUGCAGACGUGGACAACAGAGCCUCGAUCAAGAAAGAGAAAGAAGGGACAGUGUGGGAAAGACCUACAAGCCAAUCAAUGCAUGCAUUUUUGCAUGACAGCAAGUGAACCUGGUUGGCUGGGAGGCUCAGCUACAAAACAAGGAAGAGUAGAGGAGAUAACACAGGAAAAAAGUUUAAAAAAAAAAAACUCAACAACUCACAUCUUUUAUCCAGAUGUGAAGAAGGCUGCCAAAGUGUUGGAUGAAGAGUUUUCCAAAACUUAUUUUUAUAAUUCAGAAAUGGAGUGUGUCUGCUCUGCUGCUCAUCCUAACCACAACCCAGACCUCCUGUUACCCUUCUUGUUGAUUGAAAGUUUGACCUCAAAAAUGCACCCGUCUGCUGUUGUAGCUGUGAAAGUAAUACAAGACUUUUAAAUGAGCAAACUUGAACUAAAGGGAGAGCCCCACUUCUCUUGUUGAACUUGGCUUCCGACUUGAUUAGUUCACUGGGCUAAAGUGAUCCCUGUACGUAAUAAAGGUUGUGAGUGGUAAACUUUUUAAAGUAGACUACUGAGUUUAUUCUUGCAGAAUUCUACACUAUGGAAGUAAGGAACAGCCUCAAACAAGAUGAGCUAAAAGGGUCUUACUCCUCUUUGUUGACUUCAGGUCUAACUUGGUGUGCUCAAUUUCCAGUAUAGGGCUUAGCAGCUGACAGCUCAUUUUUGAUGUGGAGUUCUUUUCUAGCUCUUGUUGAUGUGUUUCUAAAAUAUUAGUAAAGAUUUUUGUGUUACAUGCUUGAGAUCAUAGAAGCAUUUUAUAAUUCAUCUUCAUCUGGGUUGGACUCCCUAGAGUUUAGUAGAGCCCUGACAGCAAAAUGCAGAGAUCAUACUAGGUUGGCUAACACCUUAGGGGUGGGUGUGUGUGUGUCCUUUUCCUGACCUCAGUGUGCUGAAGAAAUUUUCUUGUCACUUGAAAAUGAUAAAUUUCAUGAGGAUAUUGCAGAACUACAGAUAGACUCAUAUGUAGUUAAUGAUUUGAAGGUCUUUCUUUCUAAAUGUUAGCUAAGAAGAGUUUCAUGAGGACAAAAUUUAAGUAGGGAGACUGAACUUGGAAGUCCUGGCAAUAGAAACCUGAUUCCAGGGAGAGAUGAAACUGAACCUCUAGGAGUGUGAGACAGGAUAACCAUCCCAACAAAAGCUUUUGUUGAAAGCUUGUUUUUCAAGCGCUGGGUCCAGCCCAGGGCCUGUGCUCUUCCAUCAAGCUACACCCUAGCCCUUUUUGGGGACAACUUUUUGGUAUAACCCUUCUAAAGUAUGAGAUCAGUAUUUUCUGAUCUCAUUAUGAGGAAAGCUAUAAGUUGAUGUUUACAUACUAAGCAAACUGUAUACAACAGUGUCUAGAACAAUUCAGCACAGAGAACUAUAGACUUGGAUUGAGAAAGUUCUGGACAGGAGCUUGCCCUCUCUGUGACUGGAGUGAAUCACCCCAGUUUUUGGAUCUCUGUGGUAUGAGGAGGUUGGACUAGAGUCUCUGGGGGCCAUUCUGUCUCUGGAAAUUUUCUGGACCCCACAAGAACUCUGUGAAAUCAGUUCCCUGGGAUUGACCCCUGUAAUUAGUAUCCUGAGGAAAGAAAAAGUCCUGGCUGAAGCAGGCUGUGGGCUGGUGAGACUAGACGCCAUCUUUUUAACAUUAGCAUUUGCUGUGAUUGUUACACUUAGGUUUUGCUUCGCCUUCUCCCAGAAGGAUGAGUUCUAUGUACUUCUGGCUGACAUAAACUGCUUGACAGCUGUGUCCAGGCCCUGGCAGGCCAGCACUGUGGUGAGGUCCAGCCCCGAGGUGACUUCAUACAGCUGGUGUUUGAAGCCUGCCUACCCAGACUAGGGUAUUUAUAGUAGGGGAGAAGCUAGGAAAAAAUAAAUACUCUACACCCUUCUCUGUCCUACUUGGGACACAGAUAGGCAUUGUGAGGAAUGUAGAAGGCAGUGCUGCACAAGCCAGCACGAUAUUUUUAAAUGCUGUUUGUUGGGGUUGGCAGGCCUGAUUUUUCAAAAAGGAGGGGAAAUGAGAGUCACUGAGGAUGACAGGAGGCCAGGAGUUCUAAAAAGCCAAGAUGCAGAGCUUGUUGUCCUGAGGUGUGCAGGCUUUAACUUCUCUCCUCAGUCCCAGAGUUUGAGCAGGACUUGGGAGGUUAGGCUGAGAGGCGAGAUUAAACAAGCUUGUGCCCUUCUCUUCCCUAUCCACCUCUCAAAUCCUAAGGAAAGUCAAUGAAGUGUUCCAGAUAAGGCAGGGGUCCCUAUGUAUGAACUGGGGACCUGGUGGUUUGGUCUUCAUCUCAGAGCUGGGUAGAUCAAGUUAUACACGGAGACAAAAUUGGAAAGCAAAUUGCUCACAGCUGUUCUUUUGGACUUAAUCCUCCCAGGGCAAGCAGGACAAGCCAGAACUAUGCUGGGAUUCAAUACAGGAGUGUAAUACAAGGCCCCGGGGUAGAGCUGCCCUGAGAAUCAUCAGAAUAUUCCCCUAUCAUGGGACCUUUGUAAAGUCUCACAGAUGAUAUUGUCUAUUUAGCUAGUCUCUGAGGAGAUUACAGUGCGUAGGGACUCUGGGUUAGGAGCUAGGAGGAAAGUUCAGUUUGCGGUGCAUCAUUUGUUCAGCAAAUAUUUACUGAAGACUUUGUGUGGACUGGGCAGUGUUCCGGGGAGCAUGGCUGAAAGUGAAGACAGGAGGCACAAUGGAGGAGCCACAGUAAGGGCCCUCAUGGCUGGAGAAAGCAGCUCCCAGUAGAGGGAAUAACAAGGAACUGUUCCUGGUUGCUGUAGACCGCACGGAGAUGAGCGUGGUUGGGUUCCUCAUGGAGCAGAAGGAAGGAGAAGACGAAACAACACAGUGUUAUUGCAUAACAGCGCCAUGUCUUUAAGGCUGAGUGUGCUGUGAUGAACUUGAGCUGAUUGACACGAUUCCAUUUGCAGUUUAAGACGGUUAUUCUCUCUGCCCUGUUGGGAAUGGACUUUAGUAUCAAGUGUAGAAGUGAGAUGAUCAAGGAAGAGGGGUUUGCAAUCAUUGAGGUAAAAGAGGGAGGAACUUAGACAAAGUGAGGGUGGGACUUGGACAGGUUGGUCGUGGAUGUGUGUAUGGUCAGAGCCAAUGGUAUUUACCUACAGUUUGGUAUGUGAGUUAAGAGAGGAAAAACUGAGUGACGACGGUAAGGCUUAUGGGCCAGGCUUCACUAAAGUAUUGAAGGGGCAGGACUAAGCCAGAGACUUAAGUGUAGAUUUGGUUGUUUGUCCCAGAUGUAAUCUACAGAGAUAGUAAGUAAGAAGCUGGGUAGGAGGCAAGGCCACCUUAUACUUUCUCAAUCGUGUAAUAGAUUGAAUAGCUGUACUCAUUUGUUUUUCCAGAGGCAUAGCCCAACAAGACUGGUCAGGACUUGGGCAAGAGAGGGUUAAUUUCUAUUUAACAUGUUCAGUUGUUAGCCUAAAGAAGCUCCUUUGUAGAUGGCCAAUAGCCUACACAAAGGUGAUCAGCUCUACUGUUUUCAGUCAUUAACACGUGGUCUGUUUAAUUAGGUCCACUAGUUCUGUGAACUACUUGGAACUUUGCAUACAUGUUCUUCACUUCUGGAAAAAACUAUAACCCAUGUUCAGGCAGCUUUGGAUUCUUGCAAGUCAGUCAUGAGUGAGUCAGGAAUUGAUAUUGAAAGAAUGUUCAUAGGAUACUGUGUAUAUCCAAGGGCCUGCUCUUCAGAAGGUGGGGGCAUAGGGUAGUUAUGGAUGGGACCUUAUGGUUGCCACUGCCUGACCAUCUGUUGUCUCAAUUUUCCUCUGCUAUUAAACGGGGAUAUCACAGUUCUCAUCAAGUAGCUCUUUCAUUAAUUCCCAGCAGUAGAUUCAUGUUAUCAUCACCUGGAGAGCUUAAAAAUAUAUGUGUCUGUGACUAAUAUAAGGGCCUUCCUUCAGAAACUCCGAAGGAAAUGGUGUGGAAAAGGGCUCAGAUGGUGUGGGAAGAGUGCUUGGGAACGUCUGGUACACGGCUAGCACUCAGACAUUAGCUAUUAUUAGUGGGCAGAGCAUCACUGUUCUGGAGUGCUUGUUUCUGCCCCACCCAGGCUGAUGGCUUUCCUUCACUCCUUAGCUAUGAUGCUUGGAUCGCUCCUCAUCCACAGAGCUCCCCAGAGAGCUCCAAGAGAAGCCUGGAGUGCUGGGCUUACCUGGGAAGGGCAAAGUUAGAUCUGGAACGGCAGUGCUGAGGUCAUGCUGCUUAAUCAACUGGUAAAGCUUCUGUUAAUUACAUCUCUAGGAUGCAGAAACUGUCUAAAGAGGUUAAGUAACCGGCUCAGGUCUCACAAGUCAUAUAAUGAAACCGAGGCAGCCUUCCUCCAGAUUCUCGAGUUCCCAACUACGCAUGUGUCCUCCUUCACCAGAGAAGCCAGCAGACCAUAGUGUCAACUCCCAUGUCCAGCACUUAAACUACGAAGUGCUGAGCCUUACAGUGUGUACCUGGGCUAUGUGCUUCACAUGUCUUGGGCCAUGUGGUUCUGCCAUUGUGUGUAUUCUGCAUGUAGUCUUGCUGAAGAGCUUGAAGCUCAGAGAAACCCCCUGAAUAUCAUUGAUCAAAACAGGACGGCCUAGCUUGAGUCCUCCUUCACCGUGCUGCCUCCCUUCCCCUGUUCUCAGAAGUGUCUGGGUGGAGAGAAGCACAGGGUGAUUUUAUUAGCAAAGAAAUGAUGGGGUUGGUAAGGAGGGUGAGAGAGAAACUGCAGCAAGGCCCAGGCGCCCCUUAUGCUUAGAACAGGGAGCCAUUUAGGUGCCUUAAAAUAGCCUGCCGUGGCGGGGUGCUGGCUGCCACAGGGCCUGUUCUGGAGGUGCUCUCUGCCUAUUUAAAGCCGGACCCUUCUCUCCGGUGAAGUGAAUGAAAUGACCUCUGAGAAACUGAGUGCUUGCCUAAAAUAGUUCAAGAGGAAGAAUCUUUGGAAGCUUCGGGCUCCUUGAGCCCAUUUCCUCUGGAUUUAUGUCACCUCAGAGAACGCCUGGCCUCCUCUUGUUUACUCUUCUGGCUCGUCCCUUUCUACCGUACUUGAGUCCUGUGUCAUCCUAAGCCAAAAGCAUCCAUCCUCACAGAACGUAGCAGCCUUUCCCGAGUAACUAAGUUGGGGCCUUUUCUGCAUUUAGUUUGUCUCUUAUGGGGGUGGGGGUGGUGAGAGGCCAUUUGUUUAGGACUUGGCCGUUUCUCUCCUCUGGCUGCAGAGUUUCCAAGAUUAGAGCUCUGAAGUGAAUUUUCUUUUUCUUCCCCCCCCCCCCUGCUCACACAAGGGCUGCCCCAGGGAAGCCAGGGGUUUCUCACAACCUUCCUCUUGUGGUGCCUAGGAACAUGUAUGAAGAGCUUUAAAGUCACUCCUCAAUAAUGCGGCCAUAGCCACAUGUGGGCCAUUAAGUUUUAAACAUAAUAAAAUUCGAUACUGUUAAACAUCUCACACAAGCCUCCUUUCCAGUACUCCAUCAGCACGCAUGCCCAGUGGCUGCUGGACAAGGCAGAUAUAGAACACGUCCAUCAUCGCAGACAGCUCUACGAGACAACAUGCCAUUAGACUGCAGGUCACCAGCUGGUCACUUGGGCCAGCUUUCUGGGUUUUCACGGGUCUAAACAUCUUAACUACUCCCCAGCUUCUCAGAGACCCCUCUGUUUGCAGAAGUAGGAAGAUUCAUGGAAGGAGAGAUUAAGGGCAUUGAUUUUUGUGGCUCUAACCUUUGGACCCCUCACACAAGGUUGUAUUUUAUGGUUUCAAAGCUGUGUAGCCUAGGGCAAGUCACUUAACUUCUCUGAAAAAGUUCCCUUGUCAGUGAAAUGGUUUUAGAAAUACCUCAUGGGGAUUCCACGAGGGUUAAACAAAAUGGAUAAAUGUGCAUAAAACAAUGCCUGUUACACAGUGUUGACAAAGCUUGUGACACAUUCCCUCAAUGGAGGCCAGGGUAUCCGUGAAGGCACUUUAUUCAGUCAAAGGUAGUCGUUUGCAAGUAACCCUUAAACACUCUAAAUAAAUGGAGUUGAUACUAUUGCUGCUCCCUUCACCAGGACGUGUGUCCUCAGAUUUAGGCUCUGCUUCUUUCAGAUUCUGGGCUAUCCUCUCUGGUUUAUUGAAUGACUUCCCGGUCACAUCAGACAAUGCAGAGUUCACUUUCUCUGUGGAACUGUCUGUUCCUUUCAUGCUCUGGGUGUGUUCUUUUUGAGGGCCUCUUGCCCAAAGCCAGCCUGUCAGCACUACCUGGGAAGCUACCACCAAGACAGCGGGUAAUCAUCAGAAACUCUUGAAACUAUCCCAGAGUUGAAGGUUUUGAGUGUCUCCCAUGCCCUGUGCAUCUUCUGAGCUGUGAGAAGUGAGACAAAAAGAGCUCUUGUUGGGCUCUUGGCAGAGGGGAAAUUUGGAAGGAACAUCUUUGGAAUCAAGAGAGGUUUCUCUUGAGCUGUAGAGAGAGCAAAGUAUCUGUUCACACUUGGGGCCUGGGUUCCACCCAUGACCAUUCACUCUUACCUAGAUAACAUAGCUGAUGAUUUAACCUUUCUGUACUUCAGUUCUCCCAUCUGUAAAAAGGGAAUAAUCCAGAGAAGCUACCUGGUGGAGUGCUUUUAAGGACUCAGUGAGAUGGGACACAAUAAAGUCUCCUAGUCCAGUCUCACGUCCUCUGAUGGAACUGGCACAGUACUAGCAGCAGUGAGCUGCAGUCCCCACCUUCCUCCUUUGUGCUCCCCAGAAAUGACAUUGGGGAUUAUUACUCUGCCAUGGACUGUUUGUACUUUCUAUUUGCUGAUCUAGUGUUUAAAUCACAGACAUGAUCUGGAGGGGAGCUAGCACGCAAAGCCAUAUGUAAAUUACAUGUGCAUAACAUGAGCUCCCAUGUGCUCUUUUUCCUCUUCGCCCUUCUCUCCCUGGAUGGCAGAGAGUUGUCAUUCCAGACGCUCACAGGUGACCACCAGCCUGCUUUCCUCCUGCUGUGUUAGGCUGUGUGAGCAGCACUGCCCAGCCGUGCAGUGUAAUCAGAGCUGGCUUCUUUCUAUAGGAUUCAUUUGUGGUGUGGAACAGCCAUGUGUUUAUGCAGUUGCCACUCAUUUGUCCACAGUUAGAUGUGCCAAAUCUGACACUUGGGGUGAACUCCAAAUAACUUGGAACUAUGUGCAGGCUAUACAGGCGUCUUAAUCAAACUUAUUACAAGGCAUAUAUCUAAAUUGGAGGAAUCCAGCUGCCACUCUGCCUCUCCUCUCUUUCUAUGCCUGGCACUAGAGGGAGGAACCAUUCACAAAGAGAACUUCUAAGAAAAGGAAGGACACAAAGCCAGGAUAUUGCAUCACUCUGUUGUCACCGUUUGUGAAACAUGACCAAUGCUGACAAGCUGUUGUCCUAUGUGGCUUCCCUGGAGCCCUACAAAUCACUCCUGGUUGGUUAAAGGACAACGCUGAUUCUUCUUGCCAGUUGUUUUGGCUGUGACCUGUGUUGAGGUCCACUGUCAGCACAGUCUCUAUUCUUCAUAGGGGGGAGAGAGAGAGAGAGAGAGAGAGAGGGGGGGGGGAGGGGGAGAGAGAGGGAGAGGGAGAGGGAGAGAGAGGGAGGGAGAGGGAGAGAGAGGGAGAGAAUAUGUGUAUGUGUUGAUUUGAGCCCAUACGUAUCUUCCUCUUUCCAAAAAUACAAGAGACCUCUAACUUGACCAUCCAUAUGACUGGCUGAUUGCUGGAACAUUCUUGGGGCACUUAAAAAUGGUACUUAACUGGCUAUAUUUAUUUUAAACCUCCAAAAUUGGGUCUGAGUUAUCUGGGUGACAAUUUUUACCUUCAAGACUAACUCUUUUUAAUGCCUGGUAGUGACUGUAUUUUCUGUUCACAUUUUCUGUGUGUAGUAUUUCUACAAAGCACUGUGUUUCACCAUGGCAUUUUCACAUAUUUGUAGGGUACUUGCCAUAUAUAACCAUGUUCACCCCCUUACCAUCUCUUGUUUCCUUCCCUGUCCCAUUGGUACCUCCUAUAUCCCCCCUUCUAAUUUCAUGCAUUUUAAGUUUAGACAGUAUUCUUCAGUGUUCCUCAGGUGGUUGUGAUGAGUAGGCAAAUGGAAGACUGUCUGGCUUUACUGGUUAUCAGUGGGGUUCUGUGCCAGGAACCUCUAAGUGUAUAUCAGUCUGGCAAAGUCUAGGCUGAGAGAGACUGAUUAGAGGUAGUAUCUGAGGCUAGCCUGUGUCUUCUUCUCUCCUGAGUAAUGAAUGGAGGCUAUGAUCAGACCUACUCAAGGAGGAGCUUGGAGUGCUUUGGAAAAAAGAAUAGAAGUCAGCAGUCUUGUGGGGUUCACUCAGCCACACCCAAUGAGUGGAUGGUCAUAUCUGUCCAGUGCCUUCUGGGAGAUGAGAAAGAUUCCAAUGAUUUUUGUUGAUUGUCUCGUGGAAUCCUCAUUGUAGACUAUGAGCUAAAGAGCCUGUUACUAAUCGUGUUUCAUAGAUGAAAAUAUGAGGGCUAGGUACAGUUAAAGUGGGUAGUCCAAGGUCACUCACUCAUAAGCAGGUGAAAGAACCAUUUGAGUUUUAUUUCCACCAGACUUCAAGCUCUACUUUCUAUCCUGAAGGCUUGAAUCAAAGUCAGUACACAGGGCGGCUGAGACAGCUCAGCCUGUAAAGACAUCUGCUAAACCUGAUGAUCUGAUGCAGCCCCUGAGACCCUGCAUGGUAAAAGGAGAGAACCAACUCUUGUAGGUUAUUCCCUGACCUGCACUCACGUGCCUUGACACAGGUGCAUGCAUACGUAUACACACAAAUACUAAGUAAAUAAAAAUGAAAAAAAAAACCCAGCAGGCUACUUAGAAUAGGUCAAAUAAUUCCUGUCCUGUAAAAGAAAUGUCAGAGUUUUCCACAAAGUAUGUUUUGUGCUUUCUCUCCUCAAGGCAUUGCUAAUUCCCUUCUAGUCUCCUAUUUCAAUUGCCUCCAGACCCAGCUAAAACUGGUUUGCUCUUUUUCAGUGAGUUGUUCAUGUUUUGAUCUGCUGUCCUUCUUUCUUACUCCUGCUCCCUCCCCUACUCACCCCCUACACACAGAUAUACUUGCUAGAUGGGCCUAGUGUAUGUAUGGGUCAGGUUCUGAGAAUGCUACCAUCAUCACCUGGGGCAUAAACACAGGCCCGUUUUUAGUUGGUAUGUGUCUCAGUCUGAUAAUUGACACACUCAGAGGAGCAUCCUCUAAAGGGCUGAAGGGUGGGACUAUGUAAACUGAUUGCCUGCAUUCAGAUUCUGGGCCUAUUUCUUGCUUAAUGAGUAACUGCUUAAUUACACUACUACCCAGUCUACACUGUAAGACAGAGCCACUACUACUGACUUUGGAGGAUAGUUACAGGAAUUGAAUAGUACUUUCAAAAUAUAUUUGAUAUAAUCUUGGCCUAUAAGUACCCAGGAUAUUAGCCAUUAUGGUGGUAGAGUAGGCCCAGUGCUGAUAUAUGCCCAUGUAUAUCUCAUAUACACCAUGAGCAUUAAGGGAGAGGUCUGGGCUUUGCUAGUCCAGUUUAGGUCCCUUUCUUUGUGCAAUUCUGGGCAGGUUCCUCUGCUUUGUUUAUUUUUUCUUCUGCCCCGAGGACCAGAAUCAGUGUCUUAUGUAUGGCUGACAAACACUUUACUAUUGAACUAUGAUACCCUAGUCCCACUUGUAUUUUAAUUUGUAAUAUUAGACCAAAAGCUGUACCUACUGUCUGUUUUGUAAAGCUAAAAUUUGGAGCUGGAGGUGCAGUUCAGCAGUAGAUCCCUCACCUGACAAAUGAUGGGUCCAUGAUUCAAAGGGUGAAAUUAAAAGUCAAUGGCUUUAUGAAACGUGUAGGUAGGUUUACUUGGCAGUGAAUGGAUAGAUUAAAAAAAAAAAAGGAAUGGGAUGAACCUUAGCAAAACUAUAGUGAGAAAUGUAAGCUCAGUCUUUAUAAAGUUAAAAGAAAAAGGUCUUGAGGAAUAUAUUACAGGUCAGAUCAAUCAAUAGAGCAGAAAAGGGAAGAUGAGGGCCAAACACAGAUAACGGCUGUCUAAAUCUUAUGGGGAGGGAAAAGGAGAGGGGGAGGGAGGGAGACUCAUGUGGUUUAGUUGUCUGUGCUUGCCACAGCUCUAGCUUUGUCUUGGGGGGUGAUUUCACAUUAUUAUAACUAAUUAAAAGUGGUCAUGGAUGAAGGAUUGUGGUAAAUCAAAUUAAUGCACCUGAGGUUAAAAAUUACUGGGUUCCCAAUUGGUGGUGGCUACUUAUUAUUAGCAUGCUAUGGACCACCUGGGUUAUGCUGUGAGCUUCCUUGGUGCUCUCUGUGAUUGCCUGUGAUUUUGGGUAAAAUACCUGAGUACCAAGGCUUUCCUCUUCCAGCCACAGUGGCCUUCUUUUACAGAGAGCCCAGAACAGUCAGGAUAUUCAGGUUGCCUUGCUUCUCAGGUUUGGGCCAACACGUGGGCAUAAGUGCCUGUGUGAGUCUAAACUCACUGAACAAAGACAGGGUUGUUUUGUCCUUGCUGUGCCAGAUGGAAGGCUUUCAUUAGUCACUUUGGGAGCAUUCAUAUUAGCUGGGAGAUUUUCUUUCCAAGGGUUGGAGCUGACGGUGUUUGCCUUGGGAUGGUCUUAGUCCUCUCUGCUUUCAUUGCUACUGCCAAGUAUCACAACCCUUGCCUACGGCUUUGCUCUACCCAUAGUUCCUUUUCCUUAACAUGGGGAAGCAUGGAGGAUAUUUGAGAUGGCCCAAUCACAUGUUCCCAGGUCAGUGGCAUCUGGGUACAAGUAAUUCUCAGGUCUAGCUCUUCUUCUCUGACUGUGGUUUAUAAAGGGACAGAGACAAGAGCCCCCGGUUUUGGAGCCAGGAAGACCUGAAUUCCAUUUCAGACUCAGCCAUGUAAUCUGAGGUAGCAGUAUUGUUUUUUCCUGUAUGUUGAACUGAGACCAGUGAAUUGUCACAUAGGUACAUGUGUUCAACUUACCUAGGUCAUGAUUAAACUCCAAGGAGGGGCUGGGGAUGUAGCUCUGUUGUAGAGUGCCUACCUAGUAUGCAUAAACCCCUGGCUUCAGUGCCCAGCCCUACCCAAACUAGGGCUGAGAGUAGGAGGACAAGAAAUCAAGCCCACCCUAUACUAUAUCACAAGUUUGUGGUCAGGAGGCUUCAAAACCAAAAUCAAACGGUAACAGCAAAAGGAUCUUAGGCCCUCAAUGGCCCUUCCUGUCAGCAACUCCCCACGCACACCUCAAGUACCCACAGAGGUCUGGUUUUUGUUGCUAUCAACUGUUCUGAACUUUUAGGGUUGAGACAUUAUUAAAACCCUUCUGAGCUUCAGUUUCUUUUGUGGAAAGUGAAAAUAUAGGGCCGUGUUACUGCAUUGAUUUGGGAAAAUCUAACAGGACAGGGUACAUGAAGUCCACAAUAAGAGAAUUAUCCAGCAGGUAUCACUAGCUUAGGCAGAGCUGUGUUAUCUCUGAUGGCAGUGUUGGCUCUAGAGAGUCGGGUUCCUGCUGAUGUUAUGGCAUUUGUGUCCUGUGCCCUCUAUGUUCCACUACCAUCUUGAACAUGCUUCAGGUUGUUCACACAGUGGCUUGCAGGACUUCUGCUAGAAACCAGUACUUGAUGCUUAAGUUGAUAGAAGAGUGAGCAGUAAAGAAAGCAUUCUGCAGCCUCCCUCUCCAAACCUGUGAUUCAGACUCGGUCUGUUUUCUCUAUUAGCAAAAUCGAUAGCUGUAUCGCAAAGCGCAGGCUUGGGUCGGACCUGUUUCUCUAAACCGAGAGUUGGUGUUAGUGUGCCCUGGGUGCCAUGUUUGUUGAAGUGUAAGGAUGCUAAAUUUUUUGUUUUAAAACUAAACAAAAACCACCCCAUAUGAUGGCCCCAAAUUUCUACAAUGGUAAAUAUUUCCUUGAGUCAAAGAGAAGAAAAAACAGGAUACCCAAGUUGAGGGGUUUUUGUUUUUUGGUUUUUUUUUGGGGGGGGGGGGUGACUUUGUGAUGCAUGUUCUACAUUAGGCCUUAAUCUGUGUGGUAUGUAUGCCCUUUCCUGACUUUAGGCCUUCAUGAAGAAGGCAGGACUACAGGAGAGAGGGCAUCCAAGGAACUUAUAAAGACAAAUUCCCCGAGUCAGAGAUGGAGUCUGAAGCUGGGAUCUGUCCUUAGAACCUUCUCCCUACACUCACAGAACACUGACAAUAUGUCAAGGACGAUGUGAAGAGAGCAGUGACUGUGAGCAGCUUUGAGCCAAAGGCAUGCAUUCAGCAGAUUGUUACAAUGCAGACUGUGUACUGCAUGUGGAAGACCAUAGCUAGUAAGCCAGGUUGGGGCCAGGGGUUGACGUGGUCCUGGAAGCUGAAAAAACUACAAGAAUAAAUCUCAGACAUCUCAUGUCAUAUGUGACUCAUGUCAGAGUGUCCCUGAGACCCCUCAUCUAAGGAGACAUUUCCCAGGGUAACUUCUGCCCACCCCUAAAUGAGAUUGUGCUUUUGCUAAACCGCUGGAUGUGUCUGCAGCUGGCAUGCCCUUGCUGUGUUUCUGAUCGCUUUGCAGCGCCCCGAUCCAUGCUGCGAUGUUUUAAAGACAGGGGCCUUCUUACUCUGGAAAAGGGUUUCACUUUCUUCCCAGGUAAAUAAGAGAGGUUAGGCAGUAGAUCUGCAUGGAAAAGAAGUGCUUUAUUAGCAAGAGUUUGUGAGAAAGAACACGGCUCUAGUAUGGAGCUGGGAGAGAAACAUGUUUGCUGAGAAGGAGAUGCCCACUCGGCAUCCCCUGUGUGGCCCGCCAUCGAGUAGGGAGCCAGCAUGCCAAAUUUCUCCAGUUACCAUGGGACCCAGACUUUGACAGGAAAUCAUGGUAGGGUGGGAAGGAAUCCAAAAUACACAUGGCUGGCAUACAGGAUGCAGUUAGGAAAGAGAAGAGAACAGUCCAUCUAUUUUCCUGCGCUGAGUUCUCUAGCUUCAAAUGGGGCUGUUCUCUAAGCCUCCCUCUGAAGUAGGUCCAUUUUAUGGUCCUGAUUUUCAAGCAUGAACUUUUUCCAUAUUAAGCAAUACUUCUGUGAUUAAAGUGGCCCCUUUAUAUGUUUGUGGAGGGUAUUUCUUAGCCGUGUGUGUGUGUGUGUGUGUGUGUGUAUUUGUGUGUUUUAAGUCUACAAACUAAAAAAGGAAAAAAAAUUCUCUUCAGUCAAGGAGACACUUUUCUGGUCUUUCGGAUUUUUCCUGAGCUAUCUCUCUGCUGAAGCAGCCUGCUGGAAGCCCAGCACCCUUCAUUUACUGAGGUGUGCCAGUAGUAACAGGAGGACUUUUGUGGCUGAAUUUCCUGGAAAUUUCAGCCACCAUGUUAAGAAGGUGAAAUGUCUCAUCCACAAAGAAGCACAUUUGCAUCCUGUCAGUGAAGUCUGUUAAACUGGAAAGCUAGGAGAGGGAUCUUGCUUGGGCCUUUUUGCAAAUGGAACUUUGGAAAAGUUCAGCAGGACCUGACUGUGCAUAGCCUGGGACCAGUUCCAGACCUCCAGAACAUUUAACAGGUUGCUAUUGAUAGCAUUUUCCAUGAACCACGCAGUCUAGCAGUGUCUUUGAAACCCUCCCAUAUUUCUUGGGAAAUGUCCUCGACUGUUGAUGGAAACGGCAACUCUGCCACAGGGUUUUCAUCGCUGCACCUCCUUAGUACCCCUCUUUCUUCUUUCCUCUUCCUCUUUCUCUCUUUUUUCCCUCUCCCUUUCUUCUUCCUCUCUCCACCUCUUUCCUUCCAGACUGAGUGUAAUUUGUCAGGCACCUUAAAGUCACCAAGCUUCUUGCUCUUGUCCCUCAUGAUGACUCUAACUAUAGUUGGUUUAGAAGAGGUGACUAGACCAGCCCUAAUAGCAGUAGAGUACCUUAUGGUUUUAUUCUUUCUCCUCUGAGAUAACAACCGCUGUAACUCACCAUUUAACUGUGACUUUAUUUAAAGUCCCUUGCUACACGUUGUGCGGACUACCUUAUGUGAGCCUCAGAACCCACCCUGUGCUGUAUUGCUAUGAUUUAUUUCCAGUUUACGGAUCAGCUAUGGCUCAGAAGAGCUGGUGUUAGUUGAGGAUGAGAUAGGCUGGUGAUGUGCAGCUUCACCUGACUCAGAGACCAUAUUCCUGACCACCAUGCAGUACUGCCUUCUCUAUACGCUGUGCUGCCUUUCAAGAAAAUAAAACCACAGAGUAACCCAUCUAGGACCAAAAAUACCUUGAGGAACUAGAGGUUUUUUUUUUUUUUCUUACCCAGAACUUUCUUCUCUGAGCAGUGGCCCCAACGAAGGUCUCUGACAUCCAAGUUAGCAGCAGUGGGUCAGAGACAGUCAGUCUUAGGUUCAUAUUCAAGGUAGGUGAGGCGGUCUGGGAGGCCAGUGCACUGUCUUUAUAUUCCAGGUAAUUUGCCUGAAGCUGAGAAGCUGUGAAGUUUCAGCUUUUUAAGUGCACUUCUGUUCAAAUUUUAUGUUUCAGGACUCUGCAGGUUGCAGAUGCAGGACAAACCAGUUUAAGCAAAGUGAAGUUACUGCCUUAAGGUCCUGAGUGGGGUUGGCUUCCGAUGCGCUCUGAUUCAGAGGUUCGGAGACCCUGGCUAUCUCCUCUAAAUUUUGCUCUAGAUGUGCUUAUAAACUGGCUGCAACAACCUUGCCUUUGAGGAAGAACAAGGGCCAAGCUGGCUUCCCUAAUAGCUCAAACAAAAACUGUGUCUGUGAGGUUGCUUAGCUGUGAUAAGCCUAGUCAGAGUCACGUGUCUGUCAUUGAACCAGUUACUGUAGUCUAGGGCCACAUGCUUUUUCUCUUGAUGCAGAGAGAGAGUAAGGGACCCGUGGGUCUGAGAAUGGUAGGUGGGCUAUGGAAAGAAGACGGAGAGAUGGAGCUGCUGGUUGAACUAGAUAGAAAAGUAGAAUAGAAAAAUAACCAUAGGGAAUGCAGCCAUCACCCACGGUAGGCUAGACAAGAGUAGUUUUUUAUUUUAAGGGUUUCAACUUGCCAUUAUUAAUAAGCAUCCCUUCUUGUUGUUGCCGUUUGGGCAUUUAUUUUGUGUGUAUGUGUACGGAGCCUGUGCUCCUAUGGGAGUACAUGCACAUGGAUGUCCUUGUAUGGGGAAGCCAGAGGACAACUUCAGAUGUUGUUUCCUAGGAGCUGUUGAUCUCAUAUUUGUAAUCAACAAGGUCUUUGACCAGGAUCCAGGGCUCAGUGGUUAAGCUAGGCUGGAUGGCUCUCUGUUGCAGAGACCCACCCUUCUCUGCCUCCCUAGCUCUGAGGUUAUUGGUGUGUGCCACCAUGCCCAGCUUUGUAUUAGUUGCUGAAGAAUGAGCUCACGUUUUCAUGCUUGGGCAGCAGGCACUUUACUAACUGAGCCGUCUCCUCAUCCCCAAGUCAAAGAGCAAUGUGAUUUAUUUAUUUAUUUAUUUAGUCAUUCUUUCUGGCUUCAGUGUCUAUUUGUUCUAAUGGAACUUUUCCCUCUGGAAGAAAAGCACUUCUUUAGAUGAGUACCACUUAAAUAUUCAGAUUGCAGGUUUUAGUGAGAGCCAUUUAGACUGUCAAUAGCUCAAAGACUGGUUUUAUUUCUGACUUAAUGGCAUCUUAAAUUAUGUCAGAUGAAUUAAAGUGCCACUUCUUUCUUCCAGCCUAAGUCCAAGUCAUUGCUAUCUUGAUAUACUUGAAGUUUGAGUGAGACUGCUGCCCACUGUUACAGAAAAGUCCAUCUCACUGAUCCUCAUGAUUAAUCAGUUGCAGAUGCAAGUGGAAGGUGCGACCGUAUUAGGGACCAUGUGUUUUCAGGAUCCUGAUGGCUGUGUGGCUAAUGUGCUUUCCACUGCAGAACUAAACCAGCCAAGGAAGGGUGUUAUUAAAUGUUCCUUUUGAAGUACCUACAGUUAAACAGAUCCAGAUAGAAUGACUGUUGAGCCAACCAGGCUACCAUGAGUGGUGCCCUGUGGCCAGCAUCAUGGAGGACACAAAGCAGUGGUUCUUGCAGGGGGUAUGAAUGAUCCCUGCCUACUUGCAAUAUCCAAGGAAAGUCUGUGUACACUGUGCUGCUAAAGGCCCUGCGUACAGUCUCGUGUAAUCCUCACACUAACAGCAGGAGGCAGCUACUAGUGUCCUCAUUUUUUGCAGAGGAAAUAACAGAGGCUUAAAGAUGAAAUCUCCAGUCACCAGGGACAAGCUCGUCACAUCCAGCCUUGCACCAAUCUCCCUCCAGCUGCAGAAACCCCUGUUGCUCAUUCCCUCACCACAGUGCUGAGGACGGAGACUGUCAUUGCAGGAUUUCUCACAGGCACAAAAGCACACUCUCCCCUGAUAACAGAUUUCAUCACUCUCGAAACUGGAAGCCUGGGAAGAAAGAAGAUUGCUGACUGCUGGAGCCUGCCUUUCCAGAAGGAGGCUAGUUGCAGGGAGAGGAGGGACUGCCAGCCUCUUUGACUCACGUGAUCUUACCAUCUGUCUGGCUUCUGACUCUCAGCACCGACUCAGUCUGUCUGCAACCCAGACAGCAAGACCAGGCCAAGGACAAACCAAAUCUUGACCCUAGAAUUUCUUGACCCUGGAAUUGGGUAGAUGGAAAGUUGCUUAGGGCUGCUGAGGCCACCUUAAUCUCCGUAUCUCUAUACACUGUUAGCUGACUCAUUUGAGAAGGCAGGCAGAUGGAGCUGGAAGUGUGAAGCAGGCUGUGAGGAGUCUGAUCUGAGUCUCCAUGGCGAGACAACGACAGUACAUGCUAGCCAUGUAUGUGCCACUGCUGUGUGCACUUGUUAAACCAGAUCCAACCACAAUGGGAGAAGCAAAAACCUAAUCCAGGACUUUGUCCUGGGCAUGACUAUUGGAUUUUAGACAAAGGUUUUAUUUUUCCCCACAUAAUUCCUCUUGGAAGAAAUCUAUACGGGUAAGGGGCAGAGUAACUGUAUGGAUAUUUUCCUUCAUACCUUUAGACGUGAGACAGGAGACUCCCUAUGAGCUCACAGGCAAUCUAGACUAGGACACACAGCAGCAGACAACAGAGAGGCCUGUCUCAGACAAGGUAGAAGAUGAAGAUCGACAGCCUCUGUUGUCCUCUGACCCCCACUUGUGUACUAUGACACAUGAGUGCCUACACACGAGAACACUCUCAGACACAAUAAUACACACAGAAAGAUCUUUAAUGUAGGUGUAGAGUCCUGUGUACAGCAUGAUAUUGAGGAAUUGGGAAUUUAUAUAUGCUGGGCUGAUAGCUUUUCAACAAGAUCCUGACUCCUGUCACUUUGGGGGUUACUUUAUAAGCUAAUUAAAAUUGGGGGGGGGGUUGGGAGAAGAUAACUAAAAAAUGCCAAAGGCCUGGGAAUGUACUCCAGGCCCUUUCCUGCCUGCCCCGCUAAGCAGCAGGGAACAGACUCGUGGAGUAGGAUGGAGAGCAGGGGAUCUUUUUGCAUUGCUCUACCCAUCUCACUGGAAACAGCACCUUAGAGGGUGCGAUGCAUGACAGUUGACGGUGUGAUGGCCUCUUUAUCCUGUGUAAUUUUCUCUGCUCUGAAGUGUGCUUUAUCUAAGUAUAGCCACUCCAGCUUUCUUAUGCUUGCACAAUGCAUUUCCUCUACAUUUAAUUUUAACUACUCCACAUUGUAUUUUGAGUGAGUUGCUUGUAGACAGCAUAUAGCCACAUUUCGUUUAUCUGAUUUCACUCCAUGAUCUAGCUGUUGGAGAAUGCUUGGGUUUAGCUUUCUUUCUGAUUUGCUCAAAGCCAAAUUGUACCAGUUUAGACGUAUUCUCUUUUCUUUCCUCUUCCUUUCUUCUAGGUUAUUUGAAUAUUUUUAAAUUAAUAUUUAUUUUUAUUUUGUCUGUCUGUUUAAUGUGUGAGUGUUUUAUCUGUACAUAUAUCUAUGCACCAGGUGCAUGCUUGGUGACCUUGGAGACCAGAAAAGGACAUUCGAUCUCCUGGAACUGAAGUUAUAGAUAGUUGUAAGCCACCACAUGGUUGCUGGGAUUCAAACCCAUGUCCUUCGCAAGAGCAACAAGUACUUAAUCACUGAGACAUCCAUUCAGUCCCUAUUUGAAUACUUUAAAUAUUCCAUUUAAUUUUAUCUAUUGUGUUUGGGUCAUAUCUUUUGGAAUUUUUUUUUCAAAUGGGUGCUGUAAGGAUUAAACAUGUACAUGUGUACAUAAUACUUACACACAUGCUUAUUUCCUCAGCGAACUUAGAUUUAAUAUGGUCCUACUAGAAGUAGAAUGUAUAAGAGUCUCACCACCUCUUACCCUCUGUAUAAAAUCUAACUUUGAAGGAUGCUAGGCUAGCCCACCAAACAAAAUGUAUAAAGGGGAGAUAGAUUUUAGAAGGAAUAAAGAGUUGGGUCUACCUCAUUCUUUCACUUAGUAAGCAUUUAUCCAACAUUUUACCUGGUAACAUCCUGAGUUGUAUGAGCUCUAGAUCGAUGGUACUAAUAGCUAUCACUGAGUACUCACGGUAUGCAUGCUGUCUUCUCAGUUCUUCACAGUUCUGUUACUAAUCCUGUAAUUAUUCACAUUCAGUAAGUAAAGAACUGCAGGCACAGUGAGCUUAACUUACCAAGAGGACAAAGGUUAACUUAGCUAGAAAGCAGCAGAUCUUUGGGUCCGUCGCUCACAUCUCUGCAUUGUCACGGGAUUACUGCUGUGGGAGAAGCACACCAGAAGCUCAUGGGGAGCUUGCACACCCCACAGAGUCCAGUUUACCACCCCUAGAGCCACUGAUGGUCCACUUAGGAGGCCCUUUUCUUCUGUCUGAUCCUUUUUCUUGUCUUCUGUAAACAUUUGUAGGAGACCUUGUCUAUGCCUGAGAUUACGCCAAAGCUCUGAAAGGGGACCUUGAACCUGAGGUCAGAACAGGAAGGCCCUCGGAGGGCUGUCCGAGCACUUUUCAGAUAGGGAGACUGAGGUGGGUAGGAGGGAAAACAACCUGUCCAGUGGUACACAGUAGGGCUAGGCUUGAACUAGGACCCUGAUUCCUGUUUUGUGUCUGUGUUGCUUAAGCUAUCCCAGCAAAAGGGUGCAGGCAGCUGAGGAGUAACAGGCUGGAAAUUCUGAUCUGUGGUUGAACAGAGACAGCCAGAGGGCCCCUCAAGGGAGUCCCCCCACCCUUGCAUGCCAAACCUCAGAAGAUGCUGGCAACAGGCAGUGCUAUUUCAGUAACCUUCAGGGGCUCGAGGCUUCAGUGGUCUGGCAAUACUGUUUACCGUAGCCAAGGUUUGUUUACCAUUAGGUUUUUCAUUUCCUAAAGAGGCAGACGUAAGCCCUGGGAAGUACUGAUGCUUAACAGUUAAAACUGAUACCUGUGAAGUAAGAAUGUCAGCUAGCCAGCACAGACAGACCUAGUCUAAUCCAGUGUAGUUGUCUGGAGCACUGUGUUGAAUAUGGACUCAGGAGGAAGAAUUCAGGGAUCCAUUGGUUAUGCCUGCCACGGGCCCAGGACUAGUGACUGGAACUGUGUCUGUGUGUUUAUUUACCAUUAGCAAAAGGUUACAAUAAGCCUUGGAUUUUAAUUACAGUGCAGUAAUAAUAGCUGUCGUCAUAAGAUUGUUGUGAGGAUUAAAUAAGAAUGUAGUUACGUGCUCAUUAAAUGCUAGUCACUCUGCUAGUGCUGGUAAGAGAUUUUAAAAGGAGAAAAAACUCCAGUGCCUGAUGCUGAUGUUGGCACUGGAGAGAUAAACUGAUACACUCUCUGUGGAGGUUGGUUUAAGUGGAGAGAAAUAGGCAGUCACUAGUAAUAUAGUAACGUCACUUCAGUUGUAAUAAGAGUACUGAGCACAAACAGAGGCAGUCUAAUGAGAUGAGGAAGAGUUGGGGAGAGGACAGCUCCUUUGAGAGGGUGAGGUUGGAGCAGAGGCAGGAUACAAACAUCUGGGAGACCGCUGAAGAAGAGAGGGUGAAAAGGCUCCAGGGCCUUGGGAGGAGCAGGCAUGUGGCACCAUUAGCUUUUGGGAGGUACAGUAAAAGAUAGCAUGCUUUACUUUGUAAACACUUUUGGAAACUAUAGUAUAAAAUUUUGAAACAUUAAAAAAUUAAUAGCCCAGUAAUAGAGCAUUGGCCUUGCAUGUGCGAGGCCCUGGAUUUGGUCCCCAGGGCUGUCUCUCCUCACUAAAAAUCAUCCUGAUUGUACUUGGGGUGUUUUUUUCUGACUGGUGUUGCUUCUGCUUUUCCCGUUGAGCCCCUGCUGCACAUGGCACAGUGCUAUAAUUCAUCUGGAAGCAUCUGGGAAGGCUUGGCUUCUGUGAAAUGUGAAAUGGGGAGUUGUUCCUUCCCUUCCUGCAAGGACUCAGCUGAGGACCUGGGGUUGAAACAGCCUAUGAUAUUUCAAACUGAGGACGAUCCAGGGACAUGUGCUCACGACCAGUGGAACUUCUCCCGUCUAAUGACCUUAAAGAAAUAUGCUCCUUCUCAAAAGCCACACUACUUCACAGAGCCAGAAUGGAAUUCCUAUUUGGAUCACCAAUGCAUAUGGUGAGAGAGGCAGACAUAAAACAUGUCCGACUCCACUCAUAGGGAACUCGAGGAGUGAGCGGUGUUGGUAGGAAUGAAAAUAAAAUGAGAUAACAUGUAUUGGGGAUUAGUGUGCUCCUGGUACCAGGCUCUCUGUUUUAUAUCCAUCAGUUUGUGUCAGUGUCUCAGAAAUGAUACUGUCAAGCUUCCCAAUGGAACACUGAUUUGUAGCUGUUCUGAACCUAGGCCCCCUCUCCCCUGCCACCUGGAGGCAGCCAGCCCUAGCUGGUCAUAGAUGGACCCAUGCUUCCAUGACAAAGUCAGAGAAAAAGCCAGAAUGACUUUGCUGAGGGCUCAGUGACCCCCAGCUGGUGGUAUAUGACACAUACAGUGAAUGAGAGAUGGGAGAGGAGGUAGGAGCCAAGACUGCUUUGUAAGCCAGAUCCAUAGUUAAGCCCUGUGGUUCAUGGCUUUGUCCCUGGCUCUUCUGAAGUUUAGGAUAGUCUCCAAUCUGGUGUUGCUGUUGUUACUUGGUGGGAGCUGAUAAGAUGCUGUCCCUUAACUGCAGGACCCUUUGCUGUGAGCCUUGCAAAGAUAAGGCUGGACUCUGGCACCAACAUUCCAGGCUAGGAAGAAGUGCCUUUGGCAAUGCUGCUGGCUGAAGCUGCAGAAUGAGCAAUUCCUCAGAGGAUAUAUGAGCUAUCUUCCUUAGCUGUGGGAUGGUACUUAAUAUUUCUCCAUCAAAACAUCUUGUUUAUCGAAACAGUGGUAUUUACAAGGUACCUUUGACUGCCAGUUAAGCUGCCCAAUGAAGAUCUGAGAGCAACAAGUUGUUUCUUAUCAUGUCAUGGGUCACUGCUAACUCUGAACCCUGCAUUCUGAUUUCCCCCUCUGGAACUGAAUAGAAAAUAAUCCCCUGGGAUUUUGGACUCUGUACUUAAUGAGUGAUUCACAACAGCAAAAUCACCUUCUUUCAGACAGACCAGAAAUCUAUAUUGAAAUCUUGAUGACUACAACAUUGUGUAUUUAGUACCUAAAACUUAGUGUCAUUUCCUGGCUCUGCCACAAGCUCACAGUGACUUCAUGCUAGUCCCUUGGCUCUUCAGCCCCCAGUUUUUCCUCCUUGAGAAGAUGUCAAGACUUGCUUUUCUAGGGUUACCUUUCAAAUGAGUGAUCGUAAUCGUGCUGACCAACAGGAUCUUCUUCUUCUUUUUCUCUUAAAUGCUGUGAUCCUAAAGACUGGGUAAUUUAUAAAGCAUAGAGGUUUAUUUGGCUUUUGGUAGGCUAAAAAAAAAAAAAAAGUCCAAGAGUAUGGGCCUGGCAUCUGUGCAACAUCUGGUAAAGACCUUGUUUGUUGCUUCAUGACUUGGUAGAAAGUAUCACAUGGCAAGGCAGAGCAAGCAUGCCAGAGAGCUGGGUCAGAAUCUGAAGAGAGGGUGGUGGUAUCAGGGGCAGGUACGGUACCUAAGCCAGGCUUUAUCAAGCAAACAUGGAGUAUACACUGGUGGCGUGAGUGACAGAUUGAAUCCAGUCAAGAAAAAGGCAGUAUUUGUAUUAACCACAUGGAGGUAGAUGCUGGAAAGUACUGCAUGAAUUUCUGAUCUUCAUUGCUCUAGCCUUGUGCUCUGUGGCUGCAUGCUGAUAGAGAAAACCAAACCACCUUUGGAGUCCCUUUCAACCUGAAUCUCUCUUACAUAGGAACUUGGAAUUUGAGACCAGAGGGGCCCAAGUGUUUGCCAACCUUUUCAUUCUUUCCUGUGUAUGGUUUAGGUUUCCCUAUUAGCAUGGAAGGACACGAACUAUACCCAAAAUGCACCCUCAGUGUGCUAAUGCCAUGUGUGCACAGGUCCUUUGUAGAUCUUAGAUAAGUUAACUAGUGUGCAGACCCAGGUGAGCUCUGUUUAUUCUUAGGAGCCUUUUAUCUGUAGCUUUAUCACAAUUUGGGUUACAUGAAGAUUUUUAAAAUAUAUUUUUUGUGCUCACAGGUUAUCUGUAAAAUUUGGGCUCCAGUGAGACCAAUGAGAACAGUAUCUUGGCAUUACUAUUUUCACAGCUCAGCCUGAGACUUAGUGAUGAAAUAUUUGGGGCAAACAUGUUUGUACUCCACUUAGGGGUAGGUUGGGGGUGGGGUGGGAGAAUAGAGAGAGAGGCACAAUUCACAGCACUUGCUGCAUGCUGAUAGGGAGAACCAAGCCACCUUUGGAGUCCCUUUCAACCUGAAUCUCUCAUACAUACACAAGUGCUCCCACGUGGAUCAGAAGACUCAAAGUGGAUUCUAAACUGAAAUUGUUGCUAGAAAGAGAGCCACUUUGCUGUGAGUUUUUGCCUAUACCAAAAGGUCACAAUUUGCUGAUGAAUUGAGACAAAAGGUGAAAAGGGAACAGUUUCUUUUCAAAUACCUAUGCCAUGCAUGCUAAUAUGGUGGCCCAGAGUGUGGUAAGAUUACAUGCUGCCUAGGGUUGGGUGCCCUCAGCUGGGAGCUGUUCUUCCUGCUGUCUGUCCUGUGGCCUCUCCCCCUCAUCCAAGGAGCAACUGGAGGCUAGAGGUCAGGUUCCAUAGUGCCACCUGGUUGAAGCAGAGGCCUCUUGAGUCUUUUGCCCUGGUCUAACUAGUCUGAUCACUUGGUUCCGAAGUUAAUUUCUGUCAUGUCAGGUGUUGGGUCAAAGGGUAACUUUUUUUUUCUUAGCUCUAAAUUUUAAUUACAGACAUGUAAUAAGCAGCUUGAUGCUGGUUAUUUGAAAUUGCUGUGUAAGCUUGCUGAGAUAAAUUAUUCUAAACCACUGUGGUCCUUCUCCUCGAAGGGAAGGCUCUUGCCAGCUUGAUGGCCCUAGAGACUAUCGAGUUCUGCAGUAUGUCAGAAGCACUAGGAAGUGCCAGGAAAGACCCUGGAAAGCACAGAGGGUGGCAGCUUCCAUCAUCCCUGAUAGGAAAAGGGAAGUCAGGUUGGAGGGGACCUAGGCACAUACGCAUAAGAGACAUUGCAGAAAGAACCCUCAGGGCUGUGCCAGCCAGACUGUAUCCUUCCCUCUCUGCUGAGGUUGAGGGAAAGCUGUGAGUGCAGGAGGAGGAGGAAUGAAAAAUGGGAGCCCAGAGCAUCUCCAGAGCCCUUCUAAUUGUUUCCAUUCCUCCUCCAAAGGCCUGUAUUCCCCUAGGUUUUCGGGGCUCCCAAACAUGGCUUUGUAUUGUCUCAGGGAGCUCCCAAAGAUGCCUUUUAAACCCCCAGAGAGCCAGACUCCAGUUCCCAGCCUCUCAGAGCUCAGGCCAGGAGGGCCCUGGACACAGGUGAUUUCAGAGACUCAUCUCUCCUCACUGGCAGCAACCAGUCAGCCUGAACUGGGCAUGUAGCCAGUGAAACCCAGGAAGCUCAGCAUGCUGGUUUUAAUCAGGAGGCUUGCUCUGUGGUAAUUGGGGCUCCUCGAGCACAGAUCUGGUCUCACUUAGGUUUCCAAAUGCCAGGCGUGCUUGUUUCCACAGAUAGAGUGUCUGCAGCUCACGUGGCUGCAUGCAAAUGCAGACUAUCCAGAAGGCAACCCCACUCACUCCCUGGUGUGCAGGCUUUUCUUUAAUGUGGAAUUUUGAGCUCUUCUGGGAGGGAUUUUUCCAGUCUUUGUAUUUUGCAAGGAGCGUAAGAUAAUACGUGGCAGUCUUUCUGGAGAAGUCGUUUAGAGAUGGACUGAACUUGCAAAAUGAAAACUGUCGGAACCAUCAUGUGGCUGAUUACACACCCUAUAAGCUGGGUGUCUCCCUUGGCUUCUCAGAGCAGGGCGGGUCCUGUGGUCAGGCAACCUGUGCAGUCUCAUACAUCCUCAGAAUGAGUGAGCUGCAGCUGCAGCCACAGCCUUGAUAUUCUCAAUAGUUUCUGACCCUCAUUACUCCCAUGUUCAUUUUGCCUAGGUGUUGCCAAUUCUACCUAAAUAAAUAAAUAAGUAAAUGAAUAAAUGUGUAUGUGUGUGUGUGUUUAUUUAUUUAUUUAUUUAUUUCAGGCACUAAUGGUAGAUACCAGGGGUGGCAGUUCGAUCUAACAACUUAUCAGCCAUAUACACUCUGGGGUUGAAAGGGGGCGCUCAAAGGAGACCUUUCAGACCCAAAGCUGUGGUGCAAGAAAAGAUCAGGCCCCUGAAGCACUGAGUGCAAUGUAUGCCCCGCAGCAGGCCCUUGAAGCACACCUCUGAGUGACCUUGUAGUCACUUCUCCUUCAUGCAACAAAUACCACUGAAUGCCUGCCACCACCAGCAGCCUUCUUCAUUUCCCUGAGGGUUUGGGGACACUGGAUAUUAAAGAAUGUGCCAGGUAGUAUUUCUCUUUGCUAUCUUGCACAAGACCUUCCCCUUUGUUUUUGUAAAUGGGACCUUGAACUCUCAGCCUCCAGAGCAUGUUUACUUAUUCACCCUACCUCGGGUAAUACCUAGUGCCAGGCACAAACCAGGUCAUACCCUGGUGACCUGUCCCUAAGAUCUGGGUAUUACUAUGUGCUAACUCAUUCCUCCAUAAAGCUUCAAAGACCAGUUGUUGCUCUGUUUAACAGAUGAAGGAACUGAGGUAGAUGAACCCUCCCAGUGGCACCUCUCUUGUUCAUAUGGCCUGGCUGAUAUCAUCUUUGUAAAGUGUGUACAUGGUAACAACUCAUUUAUCUCCCGGGAUGUUUUGAGUUGCUGUUCCCAAGUGGCCUGGAGGCAGACACAAUUCAUGCUAUAAAUUGCUGUUCCUCUGAGAUUAGCCUCCCUUUUGAACCAGGUGGCCUGCAAGAAACUACCACACUUUAAAGAAUGUGGUCAGACCACAUCUUACCCAGGAGACCACUGAGGUGCAUAGGAGCUAGCCAAUAGGAGGGCCCAUCUGCAAGCCAGCCCUGGAGCCAGCACCUCCAAUUUGAGGAUGUCUAAUCAUCCUCUUACUGUCUUCCCACUGCCAGCCACUCUCUAGCUGCUGGCCUCAUUCUAGAGAAGGUUCCAGAACCCCUUGAGCAAGAAAAUGUACACAAGCUCCUGUACUAAUUGUUCCACCAACAAUAAGUUAUCAUUAAUCCUUUCAGUCUCUAAGCCAUUCCCAAAUCAAGAAUCAUGUCUCCAUUUUAGUGUAUAUAGUUUCACGUGUUGAGAAAUGGCCUUAAGAAUGUGGGUUUGGCAAUGCUUAGGUCUAUAUAAGAUGCCCAGCUGUGGUAGCUUUAGAAACUACCACAAAUUUCUCUUAGGCUGUUUCCCCCUGUAAAAAUAAUGGUAGAACCUAUUAUACAUAGUUCAUGGGAAGACUAAAUAUUGGGUUGCAUGAAAAUAGUUCAUAGUAUAUUUUAAGUGCUCAAUAAGCAGUAAGUUGCUGCUAGAUAUCCUCAGAUAACAGAGUAGCCUUUGGGAGGGGAAUUGUUUUUAAAUGGGAAUUGUGAGGACAGCAAACUCAUUUGAUGGUAGACUACUUUAUUGUUUUAGAUACAAUGUUGCCAGACUGCUCUUAGACUCCCAAGUGCUGGUAUCACAGGUAUCUGCCACUGCUCUAGGCUAGAGUGUGGUCCAACACAGAAGCAGUGAAGUACCAAACUCCCUCCUCCCAGGGGAGGAAAGCAGCUCUUUGUAUAGAGUUCCUCUCAGUCCUCCAGGCAAACCCUGAAGCUGAUCACCACCCUGACUGCCACACAGAAAAUAGCCAGUUUUGCCAGUUCCAGCCCAGAUCUUCUACCACAAGCCUAGUGUCCCUUACUUUUUGAAGACAUUUUAAAAGUGAGCAGACAAAAGGGUUUUCUCAGGGAUUACAGUGUAAAGGAAUCAAACGGUCUAGUGGCUCAUGGACAUUUGCAACCAAUUUGGAAUUCCCUUUACAGGCAAAGCCACUUGCCAUUCACAGAAUUCCUAUGAGCCCCUUUUCUGAAUGGAGGGACAUAAAGGUCCCACCCAAGCACAGUAGCUGUUUGAUUGCUUUUUCUGUAGUGCUUGCUCCCCACUUUAUAGUAUGACUCCUUCUCAGAAGAGAAAUGUGUAAUAAUAACCCUGGUGUAGAAUGUGAGAACCAGGGCUGCACCUAAAUAAUUGCCUCCUAUUGAAGGUCCACACACACAAUGUGCUUUUUGGUUUUGUUUGCUGUCAGUUGCUGUUCCUGAAGCGUGUUCCUCCUCAGUGACUGAGAGGGUGGCAGCUCUAGCCUUCUACACCUGGCCUUGGGGAGGCUGAGGGUUAGUUACAGCAUCAUUUGAAUUCCAGGAUAAGCCUUUCUUUUGGAGGAAAUAUGUUUGGAUCAGUUUGGAGAGUCCUCUGAGGGUAGCUAUGACAGCUGAGGCCUUGUCCUGGCCACUGGGCUGACCUAGGGAGUAAACCCCACCUUCAGAGUUUUUAGACUUCUUGGCGGCAGAUAAAUUUAGAAGCACUUGCAAUGUGCCUUUCUGGGUUUGUAGCACGGAAGUGCUGUGCUCCUGUCAGCUUUCCUCAUGGGUCAGGUCCCUGCAGCCUUUCUGGUGCCUGACAAGCUUGGGUGUGUGUGAGACCUGCCAGGAUCUCACAGGAUAAGAACCAGAGGAAGCAAGAAGCCCAGAGGUGAAGUGGCUCAGGAGAGAGGCUAGCCUUUGGAGAGAGAGAAUCGGCCACUGCCAUGUUUUUCACAAGCUAGUAAGACCAACUCCUUUGAGACCUUGGCCAAAGAGAGGCCACAGCCAAUUGCCUCUCCUAGAAAUAUUAUGCAGUGGUUGCCGCUUGUUCCAACACUGUUUCUGAGAUAGGAAGAGACCUGCGUGGAGGCCGGUGAGUAGUCACGGGUGAGGCAAGACAAGCCUAGGGAAGGUCCCGACUAUUGGAGAGAAACAGCGUGACGGAUUUGGAAGUUGUCUUGAGAUCGGAAGAGUCGGCUUAGGUUGUCAUGCCUAAGCAAGAGGCAUGUCAGCAGGCAAGAGGUUGGGAGGGAGGGAGGGAGAGGAGAAGGGAGGUGGGACCAUGUUUGGAAGGAGAAACUGAGUGUGGGAUAUCCAGUGAAGUAGUAGGUUAAAGGUUGGCUGGUGGAUCUAAAAGAGAGGACUCAGAAGUCAUCAGUCCACAAGUGCAAGAACAGUACUCAAAGGUGCAUCUCCAGCCCUUCCUGGCUGUCAGCCCUCUCCUGCCUUAUCUCAGGGUCAAGCACAGAGGAUACCCUACCCUGUGUUUGGCCCCCUUUAGAAACAAGAUACAGUCCCCAUGGUUGCUUGUACCUGAUAGGGUACUGCAGAAAGGCUCCUCCCCCAUACUCUGUCUCAGUCUCAAGGGCGGCAGUCAGCUCACAGGACACCACAGUUAGGGAGAAGUCUAGGUUUGUUAAGUUCUGCCUCCAUUCAAGAAUAAUCUAAAACUAUGAAUGCAAAUUGAACAAAAGUGAAUUUGUAAGUAAAGAGAAAUACCACUAAAGACUUGACUCCAGACAGAUCAUUGACACACACACACACACACAGAGCACACAUUUUAACAAUACUUCCUCUCUACAUUCAUUGACCCUGAUGACAUAAUCACGUUCCACUGGGCAGAGACCAUGCCCCAUGCAUGAGCAUGCAGAGGCUAGAGGAUCAUGUCAGGUGGCCUCUUUUACCAAUUUCUGCAUUAUUGCCUUGACACAGAAUCUCACCCAGCUGAAAGCUCACUGCACUGGGCUAAGCAGCCAGCAAGCUCCUGAGAUCCACCUGCCUCUGUCCCCACCAUGCCCGGUUGUCUAUGUGGGUCACAAGGAUUUGAAUGCAGAUCCUUGCGAUGGCACAGGACGCACCCAUUUAGACUUCUCUUUAGUCCUUUCUGUGAUGCUGCUUAAAGGAGUAGUUUAAUCUUCCUUUUAUAAGAGGUAACCAAGAGUUCUUAUUUUUCUUUUGUCACUGUUUAAAAAACUAUAUUUGAUCUUCAUAACUCAUUAUAGGUGAUUUUUUUUUAAAAAAAGCAUUGUCAAUUUUUGGGAAACCAUAUCACCCUUUCACUGCCGAGCUGUCAAAUUUGGUUCUACAGAUUAGCUUCUGAUUCUGCUCACUCAUUUCUCCUCCAUUCCUCAUCUGUUUCUUAGGUUGAGCUCAAGUAUAUGUUAUGAUUUGAGCUCUGGCCCUGUAUCCAUGCAUCAUAACUCACUUGGCAAGUGGGGUUAUGGAUGUCAUUGAUACAUCCAGGUGUUGUGGAUGAGGGUUGAUGACAUCGACUCUAUUUGGAAGUGACCUUCUGCCAGCCAACCCAGCAUGACUGUGUCCUCAAGUUCAGUUUCCCUUCCCUCUCCGUUCCAGAACUGCUCACCUGACUCAUGGGUUCAAGUAGUUGUGAUAGGAACAGCAGUCUUCUCUGCCUGUAGUUAGUAUUCCCCAUAUUCAGUGUGAACACACAGCUUGGUGUCUUCUGAUGGUUUGGAAGGAUCCUGUACAAGACAGAAUUACCUGAAGUCUGACCACAGGGGCUGUUUCCAGAGUCCUGUAAGUGCCCAAACUCUGUGUGUACAACAAAACUUUAACUCUUGAGGACAGAGGCUAUUGAAAUGUAAUGCAGACUUUUCUGUUUUCAUGUGAAUGUGUCUCUGAUAAUUCAAGGUCAUAGUGUGAAUAUUCCUAUAUUGCUGUGUGGUCAGGGAGUAAGUCACCAGAUGUUGACCCUGAUGCUAAAUGGCCCACAUUGUAGUCUUAAGUCUUAAUGCCUAUUUUCUAUUUUUGCAAAGUUUUAAUCUUGAAUGGUGGUAGUUUUGCUGUUUAAAAAAAAAAGCUGUGGUCCUCUGCAUUAGUAAAAGGUACCACUAUUAAAAAAAAAAAAGCUGUGGUCAAGAAACAAAACCAGCCAGCUUUCUUCCUUCUACUAGUACACUCUUUUGAGUAGUUGAUAAGUGUAAAAUGAGGGUCCAGGAGAUGUACAAAUAGUUAUAAUCUUGCUGUACAUCUGGAGCUCUAAGAUCAUCACAUGUGUCCACUCAUGACUGUGGCAGUGACCUAUAAGGUAGGCACCAAUGUUAUUAUUUGCAUCCUGAAGGUGAGAAGGCCAAGGAAGAGACAUUAAGUAACGUGCCCAAGGUCAAGAGAUGAUAGGCCAGGGUUCUGUUGUAGGCUGGGUCUGAAGCCGUACUCUUACAACGCCCUGGGUUUUUUCAGUAUGUAAUCUCCUAUUUCACAAUAUCUUUGGAGGAAGUAUGAAGAGAGCUGUAUUUAACAAUGAGGAAGUUAAGGCUCAGAGAGAUGCUCUGCCUGAGACCUGAUUCCAAAGCACUAUAUCCUUAACUCCUCCAUAUUGAGACUUAGAGACUCAUCCAACUGUGGGACCAGGUCAAAUUCAUAAACUCCAAUGAGAAGGGAGCCAGGCCAGUAGAGCACAGUCUCAGUCUCCAAGGAAAACAACCAUCUUAAAGUGUAUAGAAAUUGUGUGCAAAGAGGGAACUGUGGUGUGAGAUGAGGUACCCCCUCCCCCCACAGAGUUGUGAUUACUGUCAUGGCAAUCCUGUUGACUGCUCACUCUUUUGUCAUUUCCUGGUGAGUUCUGGACAAUAGAAAUUACUCAAGAGAUGGGUACUGGGAUGUGGCAUUGCAUUCUUCACAAUGAUAGUCGUAACCCAGGCUGUGCACAUAAGGAGAUGGGGAAGGAUUGGACCCAGGCUGUGCACAUAAGGAGACAGAGAUGGGAAAGGACUGGAUAAAUAUGUAUCUAGUUGAGAACCUCAUUGUUUCUCAAUUAUGAUCAUAUGAGUUUUUUAAAAAGUGACCUAGUUCUUGGUGACUGGUUUCUGAGCCAGUGUCAUGUUGUCCAUGAACAGUGGGUAAUACUGAAUGACUCUCGGUGUAAGAGGGAGGGCUGACAAUAGAACAGUACACCCAGGAGACUCCAUACAUCUUUCUGAAUUUCUUAGGACAUCAAAUUCUGAGGACUCCAUCCAGUGACUCAUGUAGGGAAGUCUGUUCCACACAACCCCACACAGACUCUUCUUGGAAAUUCCUUUGUCUUUUCUCUUUCCUUUUCUCUUUUAGAAGCCCCCUCCUAUGCUUCUGGCUGUUGAUUGAUUGCUGUGUGGCUGAAAAAUAAAGUAACCAAGUAUCAAUUCAAUCUAUAAACACUUUAACUACUGGCUAUAUAGUGAACUCACCGGAACUCUCACUAUAAAAUUUUCCUUAAAAUCUUUGAAAAUUACAGAAAGCAAUAACCCCUUAUAUAAAAUAAAGAAAUGACUAUAAAGAAAAUGGCUCAGCCUUCAGUCUUCAUUUUCCUGAAGCAGAAAUACAUGUAUAUGAAAACCAAAACAAAACAAGCCCGUAGCUUCUUGACUUCUCCAAGGCAACCUGUCAGAUCACAGUGGGCGCUGCAUGCUUUGAGCAUCAGUGGUCCUGUUGAGUUGGCAGUGUUGUACACCCAUGACAACACCCAUGACAUCAGUUUAAAGUCAAAGUUCAGACCCCUUGCAAAUACUUCAUUGUUGUAUGAAACUUAGUUUCAUUUGGAAACUCAGUUCUGUGUACUAUUAUUUUUCUUGUAACUUAGUUGCAUCAUCUCUUUUCAUUGAGAUUUGGCUGGCUCUUAAUAUUGUUGAAAAUAUAAUGGUGUGAGUUGAUAUUAGAUAACUUUGCUGUCAGUGACUCUGUCAUUACUCGUGAGAACUGGACAUGCUGUAAGGCAAGGUCGCCUUGUGCCUCAGGUGAGACCACAUGCCUGCAGCUUAAGGAGAAUACAUAUGCGGCAACAAAUGGAUUUCUCAUUUUGUGUUGUUUGUUUUUGAGGCAGGGUCUUGUGUUGCCUAAGGCUGACCUCAGAUUCCCCACCCUCUUGCCUUGGCCCUCCAGUUACAGGUGCCAGCCACCACACCUGGCUCAGUGCGAGUGGUUUCAAAGGAAAACGGUAAGGGGAAGGAGGAAAACCUCUCCGUUCCUCUCUCCUCUGGCUCUGGAGAUAGAAAUCAUCUUGAUACGACAGACACAUGGAUCCAAUGUCUUUUGUUUUCUCUCCUUAUUUCACAUGUUUCUAGUCAAGGCCUGAGCCACCAGUGCAUGAUUUUUACCAAAUGAAAGAUUAUUUUCUGUCAGAAAGGCAGGACUCGAAUAACUGCUCUGUAGACUGGAUUUUUGCUCGCAGGAAAGAGCUCCGUAUGGAGUCACUGCCACCCUGCUGGUACCUCCACGACCAUGGACCGUUUCCAACCACAAGAGCUUCCUGUCGGGAGGAAGAGAUGGAGUGUGACUGUGUGUACGUGUAGAAGCAUGCCUGUCUGGUAAAGACUUCACCAUGUGCACACCCGGGAAGACACUGCCAGAGUUACCGUGUGGUCCAUGCACUACAGUCUCUUGGGCCUGUGCUGGCAUAUGCAAUACAGAGACCCAGCUUAGAGUGUUGGUUUCCUGCCAGAGGAUUCGAGGGCCUCUUCAACUCAAGUGCACCUGCAGGCCACUCUUCCCCAUCCUGAGCUGUACACACUGAGAUGGAAGGCUGUUGUCUGAACCGUAUACUCUUCUGAACUGACACUGUUCCAGAUGCCUCUCCAAGUAGACGUGACUCAAGUGCGAGGCCCGGUGUCAGCAUUUGUGGCAGAGAUUGCACCUAGCCAGAAUGCCUUCUGGAAUCCUCUUAAAGGUCCUGAGAACUGAGGCUGGCCGAGCAAAGCAGAGCCACAUACCCUCCCUACCAUUUAGGAUCUUCUACCUUUGAGGAGCAUGCUAGCUGAAAUCACUGCACUGUGGCUCUCAGGCUGGGUGGUAUUUAAGAGCCCUUUGCAGCCGGAUUACCUGGGCUCAACUCCUGGUCUAUCACUUCUGCCUCUGUCCACCGACAGGUGCCUUGACCUCUCAGUGUCGGUUUUUUCAUGCGUGGAAGGAGAGUGACACAUCGUAAGUCACUAGUGUGCCCUCUGUAGUGCUUGCCCCUAGUUUCAUGUGAAUGUUGGUACUGCUUUAUCCACCCAGGUUAAAUGCAGCUAAGUUGUUCCACUGCAGUGAAGUGUAGAGCACACAUUAGAGUUCACAGUUAAACACAAAUGCAUUUGAUCCUCCUCUGGGCCGGAAGCUUCCACAUGGUGCCACUCAUGUAUUCUUUGCAAUUGAUUAAGAUCACUUUGGAUGUGAGGAAGCCGUUUCUGACGUUAAUACCAGAGUGUAAAGUAGAACAUGCUUGACUGGUUAAUAAAAGCAGGAUGGAGUUAGAAAACAUUGUGAGCUCUGUGAUGGGGUUGCCUAGACCAGCAGUUAAUGGUUGGCUGGCCAGUUGGGGGCUGCUGCUCCUUGGAAAGGAGGGUUUCUGGGCCUUCCUGUGACUCCCUGUCCUGACCAAUGAGGUAAGAUCACCAUGGCCAUCUGCCUUAGUUCUAUAAAUAGCACCAAGGAGAGAAGAAAUGCUAAUGGUUCCAACUUAAGAAAGUGCCCUUUGGCUUCUGCUGGAGUUGACAGGAAUGUAGAAAAUUAAACACACCAGGAACAAAUCUACCAGGGCCAGGAAGUUGAUUUGAGAUGUCUUAUCAGGGGCUGAUCUUAACUCUUCCCUGCCAGAGAGGUGCAAACAAGUGAGAUGCAGAUAUGGCUGCUAUUUAGGACCAGAACCUGAGUAGCCUAUACCAUAAACCAGGAAUUUCCCUGCUGUCUUCCUGACUGGACCUUUGGGCAUGUCACCAGAGUUUAAUUGCCCACAAGAGUAAGGAGGCCAUGGCUCUAAGGAUGUAGGCUCCAUGUAUCAGCUGGUCACAAGGACAUCAUGCCUUUUCUGCUGUUCUGAUAUAUUUCCCUAAACUCAGAAUCACUCAAGGGCCCCAGGCUCAACAGCCAACUCAAAUUGCCAAGAGAAACAGCAGGCUCAGGCCAACUCUUGGCUGCCUUUCUGCCUGUGAUCUGAACCCUUCUGGCUUCUUAGCCUAGGGAUGAGCGAGCCUUCCCAUGCCAGAGUCCUUCACAGCAGGAACGCCUGCUCUCAGGUUUCCUAAAGAAAGCAUUCCUCGAUGGAUCUGCACCUGCUAAUUCUGGGUUUCAGAAAGGCAGGCAAGAGUUUAAUUUUAGUAAAGAAGCCAGGGAAAGAAUAAAACCCUGUCUCUAUGUCAUCUGAGAAGACUUAAAUAAAUCAUAAACCCUAUUAAAAGCUAUUUUUGAAGGGGACAAAAUGGCACAGAAAAUGAACACACACACACGUUAUACCCACACAUACAUGUACCUACACACACGUGUGUGUAUAUAGUUUGGCUCUAUAGAAACAUACGCUAGUAAAUGCAAUUGCACCAGCUUACUUAGCCACAUUGUUUAUACGGCCUUUGUUAAGAAAGGCAUCCACACAUUCGCUGAUUAGAUUUUUUUGAUUGUUUUUUUUUUUUGAUGUUGAUACUGUCAAGUGACCACUUGGAAAAUCUAGUUCUGAUUCCCAAAUCUUUGUCUAUAAUCACAGUUUCUGAAAACAUAGUUUGUUCCUGCUCCCAUUCUUUGUCAAGGACGUGCCUUUUGAGCAGCACUGAGUGCCAGGAAGAAGAGGUCUGUAGAGGGGCGCACAGGCUGCUCUCUGACCCAGGGAAGAAGCAGCCAUGUCAGAGCCUUUCAGGGAUGGGAGUCUGUUUUCAAUACCAGCUUUGGAAAGGUUUGAAAACCCAGAAACACCACCUGGGCAUUUCUAGUCUCCUCUUCCCUGUACCCCUUUACUGGCAAGGGCACAGGGGUUAAGUAUAGUCUCCCACUCCGUGUCCCAGUAAAUUGCAUGAGUGGAUAUUUCAAGUUCACCCAACUAGAAUGGAGUUUAUGAUUCACACUCCUUAAAACAAUCAUACAAGAGACAGAACAAAGGAAGGAAGAUAAAAAAGGUGAAGGUAGUUACUGUACUUAACAAGUUGCCCCAGCUUAGAACCUCUUAAAUUUUCUUUUUCUUUUUUUUAUGGUGUUGGGAACCAAACCCCGGGGCCUUGCUCCUGUCAGGCAAAUGCUUUGACACAGAACUACAUCCCCAGUCUACUAACACUCCUCUCACUGGUUGUCUUUAUUGAGUAUCAAGACUGUUAGUUCAUCCCCAUCCACCCCACCCCCAAUUUUUUUCCAUAAGCAUAGAAGAUGAAAAAGCUACAAGGAGAUGUAUGAGUUCUUAUUAUGCCCAAUUACACUUGGCAAGCCCAGGACAAAAAUUAAUGAGACCAGAUUAUUCUUCUGUAUGAGAUGCUGUCUUGCCCAGCCUAUUUUAGCUCUUGCCAUGCUGUAGAUCGUCAAACAAAUUAAUAGCACAGUAAUGGGUGCCUUUCAGGCUUCUCGUUUGUAUUAAUGAAUUCUACUUCAUCCGAUAACCAGUGAUUUAUAGCACUGGAACUCAUGACUUGGCUGUAAAAAUUAUCUUUUGUCAUUCUUUCUGGGGUGGAGCAGCCAGCCUAACAAGCUAAAUGGUAGGGUUUCAUAAUUGAAUUCUAAAAUGUGAAGCGCCUAGUAUGAGAACAUUUCAUUCUGAUCAUGGCUUUGGAAAUUGAAAGGCCUUCAGUGUGUCUCCCACUAUCCAAGACUGAAUGCCGUCUGAUUUGGGUUUUCACGACUUGCGAAGGAAGAGUGUGACAUGAUUCUUAAUGGAGGGUAUUCAUGCUGAGCUGGCAUGGCAGCCUGCAUGCAGCAGUCUGUAAAAUAGCUCCUCCAAGAGAAAACAGUGUUAUUUUAAGAACCAUACGAGAUGUGUUCCUCACCUUGGGAUAUUCCUGCCCUUCACCCUGAUUCCAUCAUGUGCAGAGCUCUGAUCAUGUGUCAUCAGCCAUGCCACCUGCCUUAUUUUAUUCUUCAUGGUGGCUCCAUGAGAUAGGGAGCCAACAGAAUUCCCGUUAUACAGGUACAGAACUGGAGCACAAAGAGGGUGCAUAUCUGAUGGCCAUUCCCAAUGCCAGGAUGAACCCCAUCCCCCCCAUGUUGUCUCCCAUGGCAUCUACCUCUCCAGGGUUUGUAGCUUUCAUAUUUCAAGUUCAAGGGCAAUGCAGAAUGGGAACCCCAGAUGAACAAGCUUCAAAUGUCCUUUGAUAUGAGGGCUCUGAGUAUAAUUCUUGUCAGUUUGAAGCUAGAAAAAGGAAAGCUGGUUAACACAUGGCAAGGUCCAUUUGCUUAAAAGGUAUCAUUCAGAAUUCAUUCGCUGGGUUAAAAUGCUCAUUGGGAGUGGUAAGGUGGCCUGCCUCAGAUGUAGCAAGAUGGGCUGGACUGGCCUGCAAAGCUAUAGCCUUCACUGGCUUUCCUAACAACUUCCUUCAUUGUUGCCCAUGAGAAGUAAGCAUACUGCAGGAGUCCUGAAGCAGGCCCUCCAAACAAGGUAAUCGGAUACCCUUGGAGAUCUUGGCUUGAACAUCAGAGAAAUGUCUUGUUUAAAUGAUUUUUUAAAAAAACAAAAAACAAAAAAACAUUAAUUUAGGUUCAUUUUCUCUGGUCCAUGACCACCAUGCAUCGCUGUAUCCAAGAAACCAUCUGAAGACAGCUUAUUUUUCAUAAGCAACAGUCUGGAAAUUUAAUUGUUAUGCCAUUCCAACCUCCAGUCUAACCCCUGCCCAGUCCAGCCUUUUUUUUUUUUUUUAAGGACUUUGACUUUGGUUCUUUCAGUCCUUCCUAUUUUACAGUCAACAGCCAUUCCAGAAAAACAUCUGUUAGAAAGAUCCAUCCCCUGUAGUGGGAAUUAAGUACAUAUUUUAACUUCAGACACUCUUGCUUAAUGUUUUCUACAUUGCAUAAAGCAGAGGAUUAAUGCAGAAGUCCCUGAAAAGCUCCUAUGAAACCUUAAGCUGUCUCUUCAAUCACUCAAGCAUUCAUGAACCAGAAUUUUGAAAGAGGCCAAGGAAGUACCAAGGACAAAAUUAAAACAGGGAUCUCUAUUAAUGUAAGCAUUCGUGCAGUUGCACAUAGGAAGGACUAACCUCGUUUGCUUUGCUUUUUUCCAAGCCAGACACAGCCCCUUUUAUCUUUCCCCAAAUGAAAAGGGGAAAUGACUUUUAAAAAUAAUUGGUUUAGAAAAAUAGAAAAUAAAUGAUCCACCCCUCAUCUCACAGCACAUACCCAAUUUCUUUUCUGUAAUUCUUAUGCUAAUUUAAAGGUAAAAAUUCAGGAGUGACUUUUUAUGCUGAGUGAAGUUAUAUAUGUGACUGAGUUUGGGUGGUGGUUUGUAAUGACUUGUGGGCACACAUUUUGUGGUAUGGUAUGUUCUGGAGAAAUUGGAGCCAAUGGCCCUGGGUUCUGGUUCUGUUUUAUGCUCUCCAUGUGUAAUGUUGAACAUGAGUGUUAAUGACUGUCUUAGUCAGUUGGUACUGCUGUAAUAGAACACUGGAAAUUGGAUAAUUUAUGACAAACAGAUUGAUUUUUUCAUAGUUAGGAGGCUAAGACAUUCAAGAUUUAAGGUGUCACAGAUUUAGUUGUCUUCAUAGGACAGAAGGCAAAUGGGAGGCCUCUUAAAUGGAGACCUUAACCACCUUGUGUGCUAGUCACCUCAAGACCACCCUCUCUUAAUACUGUCAUAUAUGCAACACCUGAAGAUGGAUAAAACAGCGUAGGACAUAGCAUAGAGUGCAAGGGAUGCCAUGAAAAUGAAUAUAUUGUCCAUUCACUCACACCGUGAAGACCGCCUCACAUUGUAUGCGUUCAUUCUGAUACUCUAAAGCACUUGAGAAAAUGUUAGCUGGGGUUUGGUUGACAUGCUUCAAGCUCUAACCACUCAGAGACACAUAAUUGAAGAUACUGGGAAGAACAAGCCUCAGUUAGCAUGGCUAACGUGAGGCUAGGGACCUGUGAGGAAAAGCAGAAUUGAUUCAUAAACUCAUGGAACAAACAGCCACGCUCCAGGCAGGAGCCAGGAAGUGGGGAUGUAAAAUGAAUGUGUGCAUAAAGGACCAAGAUGAAAUCCACAUUCCUGAGUGAACUGUGUUUUGAAGAUGGUUUACAAGCUGUGAUGUCUGUCCAUAUGUGUUAGUGGAUGUGUGUGGUAAUGUACCUGCCUCCUAUGCACAAGGGCCUGUGCUCAUCUCUAGUAUGUAAGGCAGUAGGUAAAUAUUGAUGGCAAGGGCCUGGUGGCUAGUGAGGCUUAGUUCUCUAGAGUCUUUGAAUUGGCCCUUUUAUGUUUAUUUACUCUAUUUUACCAUACCUGAAACCUCCCUGUUUUCUCUGUAGGGUAUUGGUGUUCUAAGGCAUUCUCAAGUGCUAUCUCUCCAGGCGCAGGUAGAGUCAGGACACUCCUUAUUUCCAUUUCCUCAUCUUUCUCUAUUUUACUAUUUUUGGAUAUAAGCAUUUCCUUUGAAGCACACUGCUUCAGAUUGUGCCACCUGCUGUCCUUCCUUGUUCCAGUCACAUGCAGAUUUUAGUUUCCAAUGCUUGCAUCUUUUCAUGAAGAUACUGACUGGUCCUCCCACCUUGCCUCUCCCACCAUCACAACUCCUCCCUUGUUAUUCAACAUCAGGAUCCAUAGUAUUCCCGAGCCUCGUGGCACCUUGGCCUGUGGCUGACAUUGGUUCCCUGCUCUCAUGUCUUCCCUGGACUGUGUCGUGACUGUCUGUGGAAUAGCCUAAAGCUCCCCUCCCCCUAACCGCCACUCCACAGCUCUCCAGCUCACUUCUUUUGGUCCUGACACUUUUAAGUGUUUUGCCAUUCAAGAAGCCCUCCUCAUUUCCUUCUUGCUUCUCUCCUCAUUUAAGAGAUCUCAGCCCAUCGUUUGCCCUGACUUUCCACUACAUUCCUUUCUUGAAAAUCCUAAACCCAGUUUAUCCCAAUUCUGCUGGUCUUUUGCUGACACUUCCACACCUCAGCAUGACUGGAGAGGAGCAUUCACACAGCCUGAUUGGAAUCACUUAGCAUGAGUGCCGUAGAUGGAAUAUUUGUGGUCCCCUAAGAGUCGUGGUUUGAAUCUUGCUUUCAUUCCAGUGUGAAGGUAUUGAGAGGUGGGACUUUCAGACAGAAAUUUGGCCAUAAAUAUGGAGUCCUUGGGGCCAUGAUGCCCUUAUAAAAGAGACUCCCUGGGAAUACAAGAGGGAGUUCUCACCAGACCCCAAUCAAUUGGCAUUGUAAUUCAAGCCUCCAGCCUCCAGAAUUGCUAGACAUAAAUUUGUUAUUUAUAAACUGCUCGGUCUUUAUUAUAUGAUGACCCUUUUGAUAGUAGCCUGGGAUCACACAUUGCCCCGUUCCUUUCUGUUUUGCUCAACAGUUCUGCUCAUUCCGUAGCUAGUUGGCUUGUUUUCCUUCACUUCCUUCUCUUUCUGAGGCCUUAACCACCCAUCAUGCCCUUUGUUUUCAACCUCUGACCUGUUUUAUACAUCACAGAGGAAAAAGUCAUCCGAAGGAUAUCUCCUUGGGUUUCCUUAGUGAAUUGAAAGACCUUGCACUGCUUUCCUUGUGUUCUGCGUCCCUCCAGAGGAACACCUGUUCCAACCUCUAUCUGUGGUCAGCCUCACUGGUGGGACUCCACCUCUAGCCUGUGGGAGGUCACUGUUCCUCUUUUCCUCUCAUCUCUGACUGUUCUGCUGUCUGAUGUAAGUAGCACCCGAAAUUCUUCCCAGUCAACCUCAUGCCCACCCUGCCCUCACAUCUCGGUGUGCCGGCUCACAGGGAAGCCCAGGGAAAGCAUGGUUAGAAGUUAGUGGCAUCAUUGUCUCAUUACCCUUCAUAGCUAAAUCUAAUCAUCGAGAUCGUGCCCUCAAUAUUACACUGAUAUCACUCUUGUGGAGGUGCAAGCUGAGAAGGUUUCUUUCUUGUCUGAGAUGCUUGGGAUCAGAAGUAUGCAGAUUCCUUGCAAAUUUUGGAAUAUGUUGUGUAUUCAUAAGAACAUAUCUUAGAGAGGGGAUCUGUGAUGGUUUGAAAGAAAAUGUCCCCCAUAGGCUCAUAGGGAAUGACACUAUUAGGAGGUAGCCUUGCUGGAGUAGGUGUGGCUUUGUUGGAGGAUGUGUGUCUCAGUCUCUUCGUAUUGCCUAUGGAUAAGUCGUAGAACUCUCAUCUUCUCCAGCACCACGUCUGCCUGUGUGCCACCAUGUUUCCUUCUGUGAUGAUAGCGAACUAAACCUAUACACUGUAAGCCAGCCCUAAUUAAAUGCUUUCCCUUAUAAGAAUUGCCAUGGAUAUGCUGUCUCUUCACAGCAAUAGAAACCCUAACUAAGAUAGGAGCCGAGCCUAAAUAUGAAACCCAUUUAUGUCUCUUAGACUCAUAGCCUGAAGGCAUUUCUGAACACAUUUCUCAAGUCUGCACUUUGACUGCCAUCUGUCUCAUGACACUGCAUGUGGGACUUUACAUGUUGACACUCAAACUUGGAUUUUGGAGGAUCUCAGGUUUCUGUUUUGGGAUUUAGGCUGUUCAGUUUGCAUCAGCAAAUUCAGUGCUAUCCAAUUCUAGUCCUUUCUCAGUUCAUUUUACUUGACCUCCCCCCCCCCCCAAAAAAAACAACAACAAACAAACAGUAUUUCUUUUUCUUUUGACAUUUAGUUUUACAUAAUUUCAGAUGUAGAGAAAGUUGCAAAAGUAGAAAAAGGACAAGGAAUUUCUAUGUGUCCUUCCUACAGAGUCCCAAGUGUUAGUCUAACCCCCUUGCCCUACUUCUCUCGCUCCAUGUGGGCCCACGCCUGUACAUGCCUAUCUGAACUUUGUGAGGUGUCUCCUCCCCCUCAGUCCUCUUUGUAAGGUCUUCCUUCUCUCCUAAGGGCUAGUGGACCCCUCCUGGCAGGUUGACUCCCUGAGGGUCCUCUUCUUUGCCUAGGUCCAGCCCAGGGUGAUUUUCUCAGUUCUGGGACUCCAGUGUCACAGGCCCAAGGCGCUCACAUGCUGGGAUUGCUUCCUUGCUCCUCUCUCAGUGUUCCUUCCCUCUGUCCCCAUGUCUGUAAACAGCACAUUAACCUACACUGCCACACACCUAGCCCUUGCCCUCACCCUUCUCUCCUCCACCCACACCUGAUCAAAGCCUGCCAGGAGACCCUGUCCUCAGAAACUCCACUGUCUCCCCUGCUGUGUGCUGGUCUAAGGCACUCACUGUCCUCGCUCCUCUGCUGCUUCCUAACCUGUAUUCCUGCUCCAGCUCUAUGGUUCGCUGGACACUGGAACCAGGUGCUUUUUGUUUUGCUUUGGGCUGUAAGUUCUACCAUACUCCCCUAGCCAAAGAACUCCUGUCUCACUUAGCAUAAAAUUCCAACUCUUUGUGAUCUGACCUCUGCUUUCCUAGGGAUGCACUCUUACUGUAACUUCCCAUCAGCCCAUGGCAGCCACCUCCUCUUAGUACAGGAGCACCUUUACCACCACCUCCACCUCCAAACCUGUUCUCUUUCCUUGUAUUUCUUCCUUGUUCAUUUUCCCCCUACUAACAACAACUACUUUAUGGGGCACAUGGAUGUGUGACUCACUCACUCUCUCUCUCUCUCUCUCUCUCUCUCUCUCUCUCUCUCUCUCUCUCUCUCUGUGUGUGUGUGUGUGUGUGUGUGUGUGUGUGUGUGUGUGUGUGUUUCUAUUUGCUUAUAGUAAGACUCUUUUAGGGAGUGUGUGUAUGUGUUUCUAUUUGCUUAUAGUAAGACUCUUUUAGGGAGGACUUUUGUUUUGAAUCGUAUGUCCCAGCAUUAUAAGAAGUACUCUUUGGGCUGGUGAGAUGGCUCAGUGGGUAAGAGCACCCGACUGCUCUUCUGAAGGUCUGGAGUUCAAAUCCCAGCAACCACAUGGUGGCUCACAACCAUCCGUAACGAGAUCUGACUCCCUCUUCUGGAGUGUCUGAAGACAGCUACAGUGUACUUACAUAUAACCAAUAAAUAAAUCUUUAAAAAAAAAAAAAAAAAAAAAGUACUCUUUAAGGACUUGUUGAUUAGACAGGCUAGUGAGGAAAGGCAAAAUGACUGACUUCUGCCCAGAGUAGAAACCAGAGGUCCUGGGUGUGGGGAGUUGGGGUAAUGUCUUCAUAGACUCUAACUCAAAGUUUCCAAGGGCUAUUUGGAUGUUUAACCAAUUUGCAAAGGGGGGGGGGGGUUGUCUUUGUGCCACAAAACAUAUAGCUCUAAAGCUGUUCCAGUUUCCAAGUGAGUCCAUGCUAAAUGAUUCUCAAUCCUACCAACAGCACUGUGGCUUCUUUUCCUUCCUUUGUUAAUGAGGAGGGAGGAGUUACAGAAGGAGGGAAGGAAUGUAGCCUGGGAUGCAGCAGGCUCAGGCCAGGGUCAAGAGCGGAAUGAAGAGCGGAAUGAAAUAUGUAUCUCUUUAGGUUUGAUCAAUAGAUCCAGAUAGUAUAUUGAGUCAGCCUAGGGCUGGGUCAAAGAAGUAUAUGGGUAUGCUUUAGACAUGCAAAUCAAUUGAGUUCUGAUUCCUCAUAUACUCAUUUAAAUGGCACUUUUGUGUCAUUAGUGUAGGCUAUUGUACAAGCUUUGAACAAGCAAGAACUCUAUUAACCAUAAAAACAGACUUUGCUUUUGGGACUGUUUUGCUCAACCAAAAUCAGCCCAUUUGUGUUAGUAAUAAAAAUACUUAAAACAACAACCAAAAAAAAAAAACAAAACAAAACAAACCACACAAGUGCGAUCAAUUCCCAGAAGAACCAAGCCACAUAUAGCCCCAUCUCUGCCCAACUGUGUGAUAUUCCAGAUUUGAGCUGUCCUGGCUGACCAUGUAGGUGCUCUACUGACAGGGCCUCCAGGCUGGGAACAUGUUUACCCCAGUGUGAGGCUGGCCAGGAUGCAGAGCUGGUCCACAUGGGAUGAAGACAUCAAAGCUGAUUCUGAACCAAUUAGAAGAAGAUACCAUUGUCCUCUAAUUCCCAAAGUUCUUAGGCUGUUACCAACACUUAUCAUGUUUCCUUGGGGAUGGCUGUGGCAUUGCCUCAGAUCUAAAGCUCAUUGAUAUGCACACAUAAUGACUGGACUCCAGUCUCUCUGACACUUAGAGCCAGGGAAGCUUGGGAACCACUGACUGCAUUUCCACUCAGCAAAAGGACCUUUUCAGGAUUUGCACAGUGGCUGUAAAUGCUAUUUUUUUCCCUCAGUUGGUCUUAAAUGACUGUUAGUCUCUUGUGUCUUAGAAAAAAGAAUGUGAACACUUUAUUGGGAAAAAAAUUUAUAACAGUUUCCAUUUAUAGUACUUCAGAGAGUGAGCAUGGGAAAUAGCUUAAGAUGGUAAUUUUAGCUAUUAGUCCUGGCUGAGGAAUUCCCAGAGACACUUAUCUGUCUGUGUUCAGUCACAUUUUUCUGCCCUCCCCAGCACCUACUUCUAUCGUUCCAUGAUAUUUCUUCAUCCAAUGUUGUUCCUAAAGUCCACCUGCCCUUGAUGUGUGAAGACAAUUGUCACAGUUGCCAUCUGAGGGUGAUGAGAUUUUCUUUAUAACCUCCCAGGUUUUGCUUCUUCCCCUAUCAGAUAGAAGAAUCCCAUUUGUAAAUUUUAAAAAGUCUUUUCCUAGCCGGGCGUGGUGGCGCACGCCUUUAAUCCCAGCACUCGGGAGGCAGAGGCAGGCGGAUUUCUGAGUUCGAGGCCAGCCUGGUCUACAAAGUGAGCUCCAGGACAGCCAGGGCUAUACAGAGAAACCCUGUCUCGAAAAACCAAAAAACCCAAAAAAAAAAAAAAAAAAAAAAAAAAAAGUCUUUUCCUGAAGUAAAGUGAACUGGCAUAGUCUGAAGGAAUUAGAUGUCAUCUUGGCAGCAGACAUAUUUGCCUUCACUGCUCUGUGGCAAGGGAACCGAUAGCUCUAGCUGCCAUCUUGAAAAUGCAAAUUAUUCAUGGAAUUGUGAGAGGAAGGAUCACCUUCCUCUUGAGUGGGGAUCCAGCCCCAGUCUGGAAGGACACAUGUCCUCACUCAUUGUCUUCCUCUCCUCAAGCAUUGGCUGACUGAAGUUUAAGUGCCACUAAGUUUCUCUUAAUACUUCUCUUUAAUGGUUUUUAAACUCCAUUCUUGUUCUUAGCAAUAUCAUCCCUAAAGUUAUGAGCUUGUGGACUUGUUAUAUCUUUAUUACUAUUUAAAACACACAGAUGUUAAUCUAAAUACUUCUAAGUUUCCAGCACUAUACAGAGUCAUAUUUCUUCAGUAAUUUCAUGCAAGUGCUUUUACAAAAACAAUAAAUUUAAAAUAACUUUGAAAGAAUAAGGUCUUCAUUUAGUAUAAUCACAGACUAUCAACCCCAUUCAGAUUCCAGAAGUGCAGGAAUAUGCAGGAGUCUCUUGGGGUAAUAGCACACUUAGAAGCACUUUUGAAGUUAGAACUAAAUAAAGGCCAGAAUGGAAUUGUUAGAAUACUUAUACUGAGGCUGGAGAGCUGGCUCAUUGACUAAGAGCGCUAGCUGCUCUUCCAGAUGAUUCAGAUUCUAUGUCCAGUGCUCACAGUCUCUAGCUCCAGUUCCAGGGGAUCAGACACUGUCUUCUGGCCCCCAAAACACCCACAUACAUAAAAUAAACUUUAAGAAGAACAUUCAUAUUACUUAAGAUGUUUGGAUGAGAUGGAAGAUUUGUUUUCUGGUAGUGCAGGAGGUGGAACCCAGAGCUGUGUGCAUGCUAGACGGACACUCUGCUGCUGAGCUAGAGGUUUGUUGAGUUCAGUAAUCUGUCUUCCACUUCCACUGUUCUACUAAAUGUGCUUGGUUCUCUCUUGUUCUCACCCUUUUUAAAAUGCAAGUAAAUUUAAUAGCCAACACUUUAGCCCAGAUAUCUUUGAUGGUACCUUUUAUAACCUGCUACCUCAAGCAGAGACUAGAAUCUCGCCUUGCCAAUUGGUAUAAGUGUAUGAGCCUAAUCCUAUCUUUAGGGCUGUAUUAAACAUGACUUCCUUAUGUCUCUAUUGAUUUUUGUGAUAAUAUUCUCACUAUAAAACAUCAAAACAACAAUGGGAGAGAAAAUAUGAGCCUACUACCAGAGCAGCACCCAAAUUUUAGCAGUAUUUGACCUUCCUAUCUUUAAAAUAAAAAUUUAAGAUUAUAAUAAUUAAAAAAAUAAGCAUGAUCUAAAAUUUAGCAGUGUGGACCAGUGAAGGAGGAACCUCAGUGGUGUCCAGCAUCCCUACACUGUAGUGAAGCAGCUAUCCAGAGCUCCACCUUACAGAUCUCAACCUCUGACUAUUAAUGGAUAAUGACUCCCCUCCACCUUGUCCUGAUAGCCAGGGUUCUGCUCUUUGAUACUUUGUGUUUUACUACUUUGGACACCUAAUAGAAGUGGACUUAUGUAGAACCUGUCUUCUAUGCCUGGCGGAUGUUACUUGGCAUAAUGACCUCAAGGUUCGUUAUUAUGUUGUGUUGUUAUGUUCAAGUUCUGUAAUAGCAUGUGACAAGCGUUCCUUCCUUUCUGUAGCCGCGCUGUGUUGCGUUGAGUGUGCAGACCAUUCUGCUGUGCUUGCACUCGUGAACGUUUGGAUUACUUCUACCCCUUGGCUAUAGCAAAUAAUCCUAUACAUGGGUAUCCAAUACCUGUGCUUUCAGGUUUUGGAUAUGUACCCAGUGGGUUUGCUAAGUCCUAGAGUGUUUAUAUCUUGAAUGUUUUAAGGAUUUGCCAUUCUGUUUCUCAGGCAGUUGUUUCCAGUCCCAGUAAGUCACCAGUGUUCCCACAUCCCUUUCAACAUUUUAGUUUCUCUUUGGUUUGCUUAUAGUAGCCAUCCUGAUUGUUUGCUGUGAUAGCUCGCUGAAUAUCCUAUAGAAUCUUAUAUUGAUGAUUUUGACCUAUGAUGACACAUGUUUAUUUUAAGUUGAAAUAUAAUAAAUUAACAAAUACAAGGGUUACACCUAAUCCACUGAUAAUCCUGGCUUAGCAUAGUGCACUAAGUGUCUCAGUUGUUCAGCUUUGUGGUUGCAUGGCUGCCCGGGGAGCUAUGUAUAGCUGACACUGUAUAGUAUCAUAAGGCAGCUAGCCUGGGGCUGGGGAACACAAAAGAGGUAUCUGUGAAUAUGUAUUGCUUUGCUCUGUUGUGAACUCCAAGAACCGGUAAAUGAGCUGUUGUAAGUCAAAGACCGCCUGAGUUAGCGGAGAAAGGUGAAGGUCACCCACGUCCUUAGUUCUUAAUCUUUCACUCGUUCUAGGAAAUUGACACAAGACAGACAAGAAAAAUCAUUUAAAUGUUGUUUCAUGUGACCCUGGGGACCUUCAUAAUGGAGUGAAAACUCAAAAGCAAAGUAUAAAGCUUCUAUACCAUUUGGAUAGAAGUUGGGUAGAAAUGGUGAGCCCUCUGAUCUGGGUGAGGGGCAGACAGUUGUAGGAAAGGAAGAGACUGGAAGGACAUGAAGCUGGGAGGAGGAGGAGGAGGUGGGGGCUAUGUUAGAAGGGUUGUUUUAUUUAUAUGGCCCCAUUGCACACCAACUCACAGUCCCUGGUGGCAAGAAUUGCUUUUUCUCAUGGGUGCCAGAGAGGUAGCUUCCUCAUGGAAGUGUUUGCAGCUUGGGGCAGGAGAGCAAGGGCAGUUCUGAGUUCUUUCGACACCUGGCCUUUACAAGCUCCUUCAGCUUGCAUUGGUCCACCUGCCACAUUAAGCACAUUUUAGGAGAGUGUGCUGAUUCCUUCCUUUCCUGUAUAGCACAUGCUUUUAAAAUACAGACACAUCUUGUCCUGUGUGCCUUUUUUUUUUCCUUUUUAGUAGUAAAAUGGCCUUUCUCCACGGUUUCAUUUUAUAAAAGGCUGAUAGAUAUUGUAACUUUCACAGAUAUUGUAACUCUUAGAAGGAACAAUAAGAUAGGUUGUAGCAGAAGAUUAGGUUGGUGGGUGUUUUUUGUUUUUUGUUUUUGUUUGCUUACUGGGUUAAGACCUGGUACUUUUUAACCACUUGUAUCUUGGCUCCAUUUGGGAUUAUUUUUAAACUCUUCUUGUUUUGAUAAUGAGGAAUUUGUAUCACCUCAGUAAUUUUUUUUUCUAAUUUCCUUUUUCUCUCUCUGAGUUUACAAAGACAAAAACAACCAUUAACAUCCAGCUGCUCAUUUGAUGGUCCUUUUUAGAUAUAUUUAGUGUUAACUUGUCUAACAAGGAAAGGACAUUCUAAGAUGUUCAUGGCAGCAGAGAGAUCAUCUGGGAUACAGAAUCAGCGUCCAGUGUAUCGUUCGAAGGAUUAAUUCCCUGCAGUUGGGGAGUGCCUUCAGGGGUGGGCCAUUUAUCUCAGUUUAUUCUGAGGAAGCUGUUCCAUGUCAAAUAAUUGGGAUUAGUGUAAGACUGGAAAUAGUCUAUAAGUAUGGGGUCUAUAGUCAACUCUAAGCACCACCUGGAAGCUCCUUGGAUUUAAAUUUUAAAAUGGGGCAGGAGAACUCUUCUGUUCUGUUGCAACCCAUCUCCCCAACUCCUGCACUAAGGGAGUGGUUUCUGCCACCACACAGAAGCCUGGGUGUAAUGAGAAGGGCUUUAGAAAUGCGGCAGAGGGUCAUUCUUCAUUGUCAUCUCCCUGUGGGCUUAUGAGUGCCUCAACCACCUCCUCCCCCUCGCUGAAAACAUGACCAUGAAGACUAAUGAGGCACUGGAAGAGCGGCAUACUGACUGGGCUCUGUUUGUCCGUCUGAUGCAGUGUUUUCAGGCCUGACUUAAAAUAUUCAGAAAACAUGGGAGGAACACCACUAUUGCAAAUCUUCUAUUAUUCUUGCACUGAAGAAAAUCUUGAAGAGUGUCUCUAUCUCUGAUUUAUUCUCCUUAAGUAAAGGGGUAUCUUCAGGUAUUAGAGUUGAUACUGGUGGAGAGGCUGAAAAAUAGAUAAUAAAACAGUACCAAAAUGAAAGUGACUCUAGUCUAGAUGAUGACUAGACAUGAUAAAAUAAAUUUUGUCAUUUGUUUGAAAAUUGUAAUAAUAUAAUGUUAGGAAAAAUGAAUUGAAGUAUUUGUACAUAAAGUGUUUGGAAGUUUAUAAAAGACUUCUAAUGGACCUGGAGUUCCAUAUACCACCCUUGACUCCAUUGUUUCUUCAUUUUGUUCAAGCUCUGUCUUCUUUAUGCUUACUCAUUCCAUUUUGAGCACUUCUGCAGGACAUAUUUUAGGUGAUAGCGAUGAACUAAUGAACAAGGGGCCCUCUGUAGAGUGCAGAUUUGUCUUCUCUUCUAGGGAAACCGGGGACAAAGAAAGGAUAGCAAGAUGUUUCAUAGAAGGGAAGGAAACAUGGAAGUAAGAAAUGAUGUAUAAAGACCUCUCUAAGGAAGGGACGUUUGAGCCAAGAGCUGCAUAAGUAGAGGAAGCAGCCAUGCCAACAUGGAAGGAGGAAGAUUACAGGUGGAGCCAGCUGCUGUGAGAAAAUGGUUUGAAGAGAGGUGAGGGAGAUAACCUGAUGCUCACAUGGCGGGCUCUGGAAAGCUGCAGUUGUAAGAGAUUCUGUGGGACAGAUUUGUGAGUUCACUCAUAUUGCAAGCGAUGGAAAGGAUCUCCAUGUCAGGUAGUGCUUUGGAGCUCUGGCUUGCAAAGAGAAGCUGGGUAGAUUGUAUAGAAAGCUGUCUCCAGAAAAUUUUAGGAAAGAACUCCACUGGUUGAUGAGGAUCCGUUGAUCAUUGCUAGUUAACAAAUCUCCUCACCUCCAUUGUAUUGCUGCAUACAUUUUUAAAAAUUGCCUUUUGUUAAAACCGGAUGAUAUGAAUACACACCACACUUAUCAGAAGACAGAUCAAUUUCAUCAUCACUCCAAAAAGCUCCCUCUAAGCUUUCUAGUCAUGCUCUUCCCAACCCCUGGUAACCAUGGGUCUGUCUCCAUCAUGACAGAUCUGCCUUUUGGAAAUAUCAUAUAAAUGGAAUUAAGCUACAUUUAAGGUUUUGAGCUUUCUCUCAGAAUAAUGUCUUUGAAUAUAGUUUUUGGCCUCCAAGGGGACAUGGAGAGAAUAAGGGUUAAAAGGCUUUUGUUUUGCUGGAAGAGAGUAGAAAGGGAUAAAUAGUGUCCAAAUGGUGAGGGAUGGGGAGAACCAAGAACAGGCAGAGAGGGUCUAGAAGCAGGCCCUGGAAGGAGCAUGUGUGUGUGAAGCAGGGUGAGGCCCUGAUAGUAUUUUCUGCCUUAAGUGUGCAGCAUAAAUCUCCUUUAUUUUUCUUCCAAGAAACCUUCAGUGCAGUAGGUUGUGAUGUUGAAUUUAUUUGGAAGGUGUGUUGAUUUUGCUCCAAGGAGCAUGAAGGGUAGAUACAGAAGCUACCAGUGGACCCAGGUACAAAAGCAAACUGCAUGGAGAUACCUUUUAGCUUAGCAGCAAAAGAAACAAUAGCAUAAGAGGAGCCUAGAUGCCUCCCAGGGCUGGAGCUUAGGACCCAGCCAAGCAACAAGAGGUACAGGACCCAUGAGAUAAAGUCCAGCCCUGUGCCAAGAUAAAGCAGAGAGCUCCACUGAGCUCUCUGAAAGAAAGGGAGGAAUUCCUGGAAGAAAGGGAGGAAUCCCUGCAAGUCUGGCAUCUUGUGCACGUGUGACAGCAUCAAAGGGCAAGGCAGUAAGCCUUUAUCUAUCAAUUGUCACCAGCUUCCCUAUGACAAAAAUGUGCAGAAUAGCUCUGUAAGCUCAGAGCCUGGUGUGGUCUUUUCAUAAUGACUGCCCAUUCCUGCAUCUUCACUAGUAAAAGACCUGCAGUAUAAUGGAAACGGGGGAAAGGAAGAGCCACCUUGCAUUCCUGCCAGCAAGGCUACAUGACCAUGUUGCACUGUCACAGAAGCAAAGCACACACUGGGUCCUGCUGCAUAAUGAUGAAUCCCCAGAGUCCCCAGAUAGUGAUCGAUAGUGACGCCCAGCUCAGGAUCUCGAAUAAUGAGCUACUCAGUCCUGCUAGAGUCACCAGCCAGCCUCUGAGAAAGCUCCCCUCCCCCACUGUCCACUCAUACAACAGACACUCCCCUCCCCAACCUCCCCCUCAGUUGGAUUUCACUUUGAUUGGCAGAGGCCCUGUUAUUUCCGCCUGGAUUGCCUGACAACCCCCCUCCUCCUGGUCUAAUUAUGCUGGGUCUAUUCUUGGUCCACUAUGACCCCAGGAAGGCUUUAUCAGAUUGUCCAACUGACCGUGACCAGAUCUCCAGCACCUGCCUCCCUUGCUGAUUGAGAGUGGAAGGUGUUUAUACACAGAGAACUGGUAUCUGAUUGACUGGCCUAGGUCCUGGGCUGAGGACUACCCGUCUGAGUGUCAGUGAUGAAAAAUGGAGUGUGCCUCUCCACCGAGCCUCAUUAACACCCCUCUGGGUCCAGACAGUAUCAAGUGGGGUGUGCACAAACACAGAGCCUGCUGCCAUUGUUCAGGACCUCUGGGGACAGGCUUUCAGCUGCAGCAGCGUGGCCUGGGUCCUUCACACCAUUUCAUUGUCCUCCCUCUGCUCUCUCCACCUUUGUUGUUUAUUACCCAUGACGCUUUCCAAGUUGCUUCUUUCUGAGUGGGACUUUACCUGUUCUCCACCCUCACAUUUCCUCCCAUUGCUAGUUUACACGGAAGCAAAUCAAUAAUUACUGUCUGGGCGUGGCUUACAAAUAUCUUUCCCAUUCCAUUUCUGAAUAGAAUCUUUGGUACUGCCUACCUUUUCUGGGUACCUAAUGGUGAUUCUGGUUAUCUAUGCAAGUGUUCUAUAAGGCAGCUCAGGUGCUGGAGCCAAUCUCCUAGUCAGUGUGUCAAAUGGCUGAUUUUGAUAGGAGUAUUAAAUCAUCCAUGCUCUUACAGGCUCUGUUUAGGUCCCUUAUUAAUUGGUCACUAGUGUCCUGAGAUGCUAAGAGUCUCCCAAAAGCUGAGCAAUGCUCUCCUAGAUAGUGGCAGUGUCCCAGGUUUUGUUGUUUUUUGUUUGUUAGUUUAACCUCAGCAUUGAUGAGCUGAACCCAGAUGUCCUUUCUGUCUAAGAAGUUGUAGCUUAGGUCUGACAUCUCAGAACAUGGACUCUGUUCUGAAGCAUCAGUGUUAGCUAGGAGUUUGUUGGAAGUACAGACCCUUAACCCCUGCCUCACUCUCCAUAGCAGAACCUACACGGAGACAACAGCACAUGGGUUCAAGUGUGUGGUGCUGUUUGAGAGGGUCUGUCAGACUGUAAAUCCAGGCAAGAAAGGUCCUUGUAGAAUUACUAAGAAGUAGAACUUAACCAGCUUAUUUGAACAGACCUGGCCAGUGAAGGGUUCUCCCUCCUGGCUUCUGAAGGGACUUAGAGACAAAGAAACUAGUUGGUAAUAUGGCUGAGCAGGAACCAAGUGUGAUCUCCAGCCUUUGGGCUAUCUUUCCCAACAGCUGCUCCUCAUUUUUGAAGAUUUUUUUUUUCCUGUUGAAAACUACCUGGCAUGGAAAAAAGAAAAAGACUUUAUUCUCAGUGGCCAUCUUGUGGUGAUGCCUUCUAGGUUGGCUGCCUCUGUUAAAAUUUUUUGUCUUGACUUGUGUUCUAAAUUACUACUGUAUGCCUUUGAAGCUUUUAUGAAUGAGAUGGUUUUUACACACACAUACACACACACACACACACACACACACACACACCAUUGGUUCUAUAUAUGUUAAAUGGGCAUGUGCCCUGAUUUAA
Molecule: long non-coding RNA, 58091 nt
Organism: Mus musculus (house mouse)
Lineage: Eukaryota; Metazoa; Chordata; Mammalia; Rodentia; Muridae
Product: RIKEN cDNA 8030431J09 gene
Exons: 2
Source: RefSeq, a predicted model, not a curated record